GAAUUUCCUGAAGAGGCAUAUAACUGAUGAACUUAAGAUGUCCUGUUCUGACUUCCUGAGCUAUGAGUUGCAGGUUGAGUGCAAAUAUCUACCAUGGGAGUCUGCAUCUAAGAGGGAGCUACAAGAUUACGGACCGGAGAUAAUGUGAGUGACUCAUUACCUUACUCUAUGCAAGUGCCACUUAAUUCUGUUAUAGAUCCAUCAUUAUCCACGAUGACUUGCCUGAAAAUAUUUGAUGUUAUUUAAAUAGUUCGUGGGUGAUCUGACCUCUGAUGCUGUUUUAACAAUCUGAGUGCCACCUUAAGUUGGCAAUUUUAUGUUAUAGUGGUUGACAGUUACUUAUUACCGGAUUUCUUCUACUUAAUAAUUUUUCUCCCUAGUGACCAUUUGUCAUCAUUACAUAAAUAACGAUGAAAAAUCUGUUGGCACAAUCUUGCAAUGCAGUUUUUUUUUCUUUUUCUGCAAAGAUAAAUAGCAAAGAUGAAAUUUAUAAAAAUUUGUAAGAGGGGAUCUUGAAACCCUAAACCUCGGGUGAGCAACUGCGAUACAUUACCGAUGUUUUAGAUGAAAAAAUUUGUAGAACGGGGAUGGGAACCUCAAUCUUUGUAUCAUCACUCUCUUAUUUCGUUUGUGCAGCUUGGGUGCAGAUGUAAUCUAUGACCCACAUUGCAUACCUCAUCUUGUUCGAGUUCUUUCGGCACUUUUGAGUCCCACCUCAUCUGAACCAAAAGGAAAUGGAGCAAAUUGCUGUGGACCAACUCAGGAUACUGAUGAUGCGGAUAAACUUCUACAGAACAAGGAAGAGGAAGCUCCUGUUGCAUAUAUCGCUACGGUCAUCCGGAAUCAGAAGACUUUUGAUUAUUUCCUCAGAGUAGCCGCGGAAAGUCCCCUCUCUGUUCUUGAUAUUACAGAGAUGAUGAAACCAAUGAGUCUGCUUCCUUACAUGCUAUCAUACGAUCGAUCAAGUGUUCAUCUUUUGAAGGUAUCAUUUCUGUGCAAUUGAGAUGCUGACCUUAUUGUUAAGACUCAGAUGUGAUAUCACUCUUUUUACACUGCUUCCUUCACUUAAUUUUUGCUGCCGCUGGUUCUUCCAGCAGACGUAGUGAUCCUAUUACUCCAUCCGCUGUCUCCCACAGAGAAAAAGAAAUGUAGCGAUCUUUGAAUUUAAAUCCCCACCAAAAACAGCAUCACUACUGCAGCAGCAAAAACUUUCAUGGAAAACCUGCACACUUUGUAAACACUUAAUAGAAGUACUACAUGGACGAGUAUUUUUUACAUGACCUAAAACGAUAACCCUAAUAACAGAUUUAGUGUUUAGCAAAUCAAAAAUCAACAGUGACAUUACGCAAAUCGGAGUAUUGCCACAGCUACCAAUGCAGCAGCUCUGAAGAAAAUUUCUUUCGUGCUUCUCUUAACCUUGCUAGCUAUCUCCUCCUCUGUAAGAUUUAGCUUGCUCGAGUUUUUACUGACAUAUAUGAUGGUAUCUCUCAACCCAUUGAUGGCCCAUGAAAGCCAGAAAAUCCCAAAUCCAAAUCCAAAUCCGAAUCCGGUAUUCAACAGCCUGGUAGCAGACAAAGGUACCCUUCCACAUACCAGUUUGCAUAGAACAGAGAAAAAAACAGCGAGGCCAGUACCAGCUACCCCAGCAGAAAAUUGGGCAAGGAAUUUGCUAAUCUCAGGGCUUGAUUUCUUCAGCGAGGGGAUUGUUACACUGCUCUCUUUGUCUAUUAGAGCAGAAAGAAGGCUUUCGCAGGCAUGCAAAUAGGUCCUCGGGUAAAGGUUCUGCUCUCUUCCCAGUUUUUUGUUCUUUUUCUUCUUAGGCAGCGUUUUCAGCUUAGCAUUAUCAGAGCUGACCAUUCAUAAAGGUUAGUUAGGUACACAAAAAAAGGAUAUAGAAAAAACAUAACACUAAUUAACAUAACCAUAGAUCCAUGUAUUAGGGUAUACCUCUUCAGAGUAGCAACUGUUGGAGAAGACGCCUGUUUGUGAGCUUGUGAUCGUCCACGACCCCUUCUGCUCGUAAAGCAGAUGCACACACCCAUGAGCAACAGUUAUUUUAAAAGGAAAAGAAAUGGAAUUAACACAACACUAUGUCUUGGCAACCCAAUAUGUCAAACUGAAAAAGAUGGUGCAUAUCGGCAGAUUUUGUGUUUCAUUCCAACUUAUGUCUUAUGGAAGUCUGGUGAUCUUAUGAUUUCUUAGGAUACAUUUAUCACAUAAAUAUUUAUGCUGAAUGAACUUUUGUGUUAUGCCAUAUGUUCAAAAUAAAAUCAAUUAUCAUCUGUCUAAAGGUUUCUUGAUAAGCUUAAAUUCUAAAAUUUGUAUACCAGCCAUGGGUUCAUUUGGGACAUUAGUUGAUUAUGUGCGUUAGAAUUAAGUUGGUAAGUUCAAUGCUGUAAGAAUUUUGGGAGUAGCAAUUAGGUUAAAAAGUCAGAAACUUGACACAAUUUAAGUAGGAUGAGUUUCUAACUUAAUUACUUUUCUAUCCAAGCUGACCGAUAAUUAUCUAUGAAAACAUGAUCAAAUGAUCAUCCUAAUCCACUAAUCCAUUCUAGCUUUUGUUUUGCCUCAAGGAAUAUCUUGGACCAAGUCUGGAGGUCAUGGCUUACUCCAAGUCCAUCCCACAUUAGACAAAAGAAUGAUGAACCUAAAUUGUGGAAGAAAAUAAGUUACUGGAAUCCUGAACAACAUUUUCAGUUGCCUGGAAGCUUAGCUCUUUUUCCAGAAUUUAACUAGCUUUUUGGAGAUCAAAUGUUCAUUUUGCGAGGGAAGUUGACUCGGGAGAACACCAAUCAACAAGAUCUUUAAUUCAUUAGUCAUUUUUCUAAACAGAAAAGCAAAAUAUUGCUCUAAGGAGAUGUAUAGUUACAUAACUAGAAACCUCAAAUGAUAUAUGAAUUAAAAAAAGAGAAAACGUAGACAUGAAUACAGUUAAAUAAUGUUCAAUUAUGAAAAAACAAAACUAAAUUGAUGUGCGAGUAAUUGUCACAAACGAGAAAGUAAUUCCAAGUUUCUGAUCAUUUCAGUAACAGUAAAAGGAGGGAAAGAUCUACCUUGUGAAGUAUGGGACUAGCAAUGAUUGUUUACUGCCAAUUAUUGUUCUUUUUGGUAGAUUAAAAUCUGCAACAAUUGAUAGUAGAUCUUCCGUUUGAGAUGCACUGUCUGCAAAUAACAGCCUGCCAUCUGGAUAUACUGUGAAGUAUGAAGUAUCAGAUAAGUUCCCAACAAAAUCCAACUGAGGCUCCGGGACAAAAUUUUGCUUUUGUAAAUGUAGAGAAUGCUGACAAUCGUCCAUUUCAGCCUCAUAGAGAGAGGACUUAUCAUCCACAAGUACAUGCGGUGAAGGCAACAUGUCAAUUGUCACUUCUUGGAACCCCAUAACUUCUGAAAGUAAAGAAGCAUCUAUGCCUUCACCCUCUGCCAACUUUGAUCCAGACAUAAGCAACUUCAAGAUUUUCUCAUUUCUUAGGCACUUCUCGGCAAUUCUAAAGCUAAAAAGCACCGAGUUCGGGCAUGAAUCUGAUUCAAAAAGAGGUGUGAGUUGUUGAAAAGAUAGUAUUUGGAAGGAGGAAAAGGGAAGCCUAAUUUUGCACAAACCAAAUAAAAUAGAUAUAGACCAUUUCAAAGUGCUAAAUUAUUUCUUUUACAUAUAUAUGUUGCUCAUAAGUAAUCUAACUAUUUCCCAAUCUUAAGGACUAUCUCAUUUACUAGUUGAGUUGCUGAAAGAAAAACUUUUAUUUCACUUGAGGGGAGCAAUAGACAUACAUAUAAGUCAAUAAAAAAAGAUAACCACAUAGUGCUUUUAGAGUAUAGUAGCAUGGAGUCAUAUGAUCUUAUCCAUGCAAUAUAUGUCAAAGAAAAAAAGCCUGAUACAUGCAUUAUUUUAUUACUAUAAUGAACCGAUACUCCCUUCACUCUACCAGUGAUCACAUUUAAAGAAUAAUUAGUUGAAUCUAGUACAACAUAUAUACUACAUGGUGCCAUUUAACUACAUAUAAUUUAAGUACACUGAAUUUUCAUAAUUUUCUUUUUGUUGAUAAUGUUCCCUCCUCUAGACUCAAACAUGCUCCAAAUUAUGACAACCUAUGCUCAAAGGAUAAUGAUUUUAUGUUUCAGUUCAUCCUGAUGAAGUUUUUUGGCAUUGCUAGUGAGAGGUGCAGGAUGAUAUUAAAGAGUCGAAGGUGUUCAAGUCCAUUUUCCUUGAACAAUAUGGAGUGUUUCAACUGGUACAAAUAAUGUAUCGGGCAUCAGUGUAUUUUUUUAUUUAAUAUGUGGAGUUAGCUAAACAUUAUAUUUAAACAAAUGCUUGAAAGAGUUAGAGAAAAUAAAAAAGAUGAAUGAACGAAAAUUGAACUUUAAGGUCUGCAAAAUAACAUGGUAGCUUUUCAUCACUGUGAGUACAAAUGAGCCAAGUAUUUAACAAAUAUUGUUCCUAGAUCUUCACAUUAAAACGAUAUAGUUCCAUACACCAUGUAUGAUACACAACAAUGAAAGUUAUUCAUGCAUCAGUAUAUGCCAUUUAUUUUGUUAUCCAUAAUGCUUCUCUAAUUAUUAACUAACUAAAUGAGCAUGGCUGGAGAGGGACGCAACAAUCAGCAUUGCUCUCUGACAAUGUCUAAAUUUCCUUCAUCGGAUACCUAAUUUUUGUUUUCAUUUUGUUUGUUUUGAUAGAUAAGUAAACCUUUGCCCCCUCCAACGCGCAAGCGCACGCAACACACAGACACACACAAUGUGUGAAUUAUGAGUCCUAUUUAUUUUUUUGCAUUUCUAAUUUGUGGGUACUGUCAGCCGCAUGGCUUAGUAUGCCAGCACAUACUGUUCCAGCAACAAACAAGCAUCCUCGUUCAAGAAAAACUUAACUAUAGGAAACUAUAAAUUUUCUAAUACUAAGAUCUAACACACCCAUCAACACUUAAAAGACUUUUACUUCUACUACCAGUUAGCAGCAGUCUUUCAUUUAUCCAACAAUGAUUGUCAUGAUUUCAGAAAUGAUGUUUCCACAUAGGCAAGGUUAUUCAGAAAAAUGAUAUUUCCAUAUGACAAGCAACCUAGAAAGAUAAAUUCCAGUAGAAACAAAGGAUUUAUGUUUAUCAACUGGAGCCCACAUAUGUAAAACAAUAAAGUCAAUGAUAAGACUUAUUAAAGAACCCCAUAGAAACAAAGGAUUUAUAUUUAUCAACUAAUAGUAACAAAUAUAAACAGAAGUAUAAAUAAUAAGAUUUCUUAAGAACUAUAACUUCAUUCUAAGCAACAACUAAGCUUCAGACCUUGCAUGUCAAUAAGCACAGGUUUUUCAAUCAUCGGAGAUAGGCUAGCUGAUUGGUUAUUCUCUGGCAAUAGAUGCAUUGGUCGCCCCACACCCUGUAGAUGCUGUGCAUUAAACUGAACAGAACCAAAUCUUAAUGCAUCUUGCUUCCUACCAUGAACUGGCAGCAAAAUCUGAAACUCCUGAACCAUAAAAAGUAGAAUCUAAAAUAUUUGACAAGAACAAAAUGGUACUUAACAUGUACACAAAAAGUAUUAGGAUGCAACUCCACAAUAGAGAAGCUACCCUAGUAUUCAAAUUUCAACAGAAAGUGAAGAUGAUGUAGAUAAUCCAUAUAUUUAACAACUAGAACUAAACUUUGAUAUCCAAAAAUAACAAUUCGUGGCAAACUUGGUAUACUGCUAGGCCAAAGAACAAAAAGGGAUGGCACGCCAGAUUAGCCAAAGUAAUAGUUAACUUUCAAGCUAGCGAUAAUUAGAUAUAAAAAAAUUAUACUGGUAUAAGUGAAGUUUAUAAUUCUUUUGCAUUUUUCGCAAGUUAUUGGGCAAAAGCAUUGUUCUUUGAUUCAGGAAAAAUCCAUAAUAAAAUCUCUAUCUUGUUUCAUGUUUCUAAUAAAAAAACAUAUGAAUGCACGCAUAUUAGCCCACACAUCCACAAAUCUGCACACAAGCAAACCUAUGGACCCACAUUCAGGAAUUUGCACAUAAACUGGGACAACAAAGAUAUGCAUUCAAAUGAAACACGUGUGUGUGGUGACACAUGCACACUCAUACUUGUGUUCCAGUAUAUUCAUAGAAGAUCAACAGGCAUACACCAGCAGAGGUUGUAUAUAUGACACAUGCCCGCAGAUGAACUAGUAUACGCUCAGACAAAUGUGAGAUAUAUAUUCACAAAUUCAUAAAUUAUGUAGGAAAUUAAUCGACGUCAGACAAUGCAAUACAGAUUAUAUCGAACAUACAAAAACAAAGUGUUUUACCAUAAAAAGCUACUACAGAGCAAGAUGGGUAACUUCAUUCAGAGAGGCAGUGUUGCAUGAGCAUAAUUGCAAAGACAGGAAAUGCAGCAAGAUCCAAUCAACAGAUACGAGACAGCUAGAUGGCAAUGUAGGAGAAGUAUUCAGUCCAAAAUAGUAGAUGGAUAUAAACCAAUUAAAAGUCCGUGAAACAACAAGACAUGAUCACUCUAUUUUGGUUGUGUUGUUUUCUCGUCUUCUAAUUGUUUUUCAGAGAUAUCUAAAAAAAUUGACCUUAAGUCAGAAAUUGAAAAUUAAGUUAAACAAUUGUCAACUAUUCUCUUGAGAAGUUCAAUUAUACUUUAUGGUAAUAUCCCUUGUCAAUUUUGGGGCAUAUGCAUACUUUUAGACAAUCCACUUCUUUCUAAUAGACUCGUUACGUUUUAAGAAUCCAACAAAUGUCCGAAUGUAACCUUGGCUCACACAUGAUGAUGUUAAAGUCAAGAUUGAAGCUACUCAGAAUGUCCUGUGCCCAUGACAGAAUUGCAGUGGUGCACAUACUUACAACAAAAGCUUACCAUUAAAAUAAAAUCCUUCUAUGAUCUAAAAACGAGGUUAUCUGAAAUCCUUGUAGUUAGAAAAACAAAAAACUAUGAUGUUUGAUCACAACAUUCAACAAUAUGCCACAAAGCAAAAAAAAAAAAAAAAAUUCAAGAGGUCCCCAUGAAGAUCUGUUGAAAACAUUAGUUUGCCCUAGUGAAUUAUAGAAACUAGCUAGAUUAUUAUAGAAAAGAGAUACUACUGCUACAAUAAAAUAAAAUAAGCGACACCAAACCCUUCUUUCUUUUCAAUGGAACAAUUACCACCGGUAGUUCUCAUGUGGAACGCAUAUUAGCUUAGCACAAUCCAUUACAGCAUAAAGGCCCAUAGGCCUAAAGGAAUUUAAGGGAAACAAAAAUAAGAUUUGCGUGAAAGAAAAGAAACCACAAUGUAAGGCAUCUUCCUAUAUUCCCUUGUCAAUCGGUAAAAAAAGAUGAGUCGCAAAUAAUAUGGUUGGAAAUGGAGUUUCUUCGAACGUUUUUAAACCAGAAAAAUCUUCCUAUACCAUAUCGAACACAUCAAACGGAUUGGCAAAAUCACCACAGAAUUGUAAACGGAAGCAUAGGAUUUCGAUUGUUCUCUCUACCUUGGGGGCCUUAUACGGACCCAGAUGCUCCGGGUGGAUUAUGGCUCGCGGGAAGGCAGCAGAAGCAACAAGGGAGAGUUCCACCAUCCUUCGGCUCCGGGAAGAAGAACGCAGCACCAAUGACGACGGGAUUUGCGGGAGAAGAGGUAAAGGCGUCGGAGCAAUUUGAGGCCAGAGGGGAUCAACGCGGAUCCCCGGCCUCACAAAAACCCCAGAUCAAAACUAGAGGGGGAGGAAGAGGGUAAGGCGAGGGCUUGGAUUGGAGCCGCAAGAACCGGUGGCGUCGAGGAAGGCGAGUCCACGGCCGUGUGCGGUCUCCUCUUUCGGACUCCACUUGGAUUCCCACAGGGCCAAGAGUUCCGUCGCGUGGGUGUGACGGCGUUGGUCGUGAGGUGUGACGUGACCCAGUCCGAGGUGGCUUUAGGCACGACGGCUGACGUCAGAUGACACGAACGUCGCAUCUCAGUCAGUAAACGUUUAUUUAUUUUUUUAUUAUGAGUAAAUUAAUUCAAAAUUUUUAUUUACCGAUCAAAAAUAAAUUUUAAAGGUUUUUUAAAAUUAAUAUUUUAAACUUUAUUCAAUAAAACUUAUUAUUGGUGUUUAAUAGCUAAUAAAUUAUCAAAACAAAUAUUUAUGUAAUAAUUUUGUUUGACAGUCAACUCUUUUACCAAGUAAGUUGUCCAACAACAUAAUUACUUUAAAUGAUAAUUGGAUGAUGCCAUUUAUAUAUAUAUAUAUAUAUAUUAUAAUAUCCAAAUAAACUCAAUCCAGAAGGUGAUGAUGGAUUAUAUUUAAUCGUAAAUAACGUUGAUCAAAUUCUUAUUAUUGUAAGAAGCUGCGCAAUAAAAACGGUAGAGAAAUUGCUGGCUAUGGGGUUCGAACCCAUGCGCACUUAUGUGCAGAAGAUCUUAAGUCUUCCCCCUUAACCACUCGGGCAAACCAGCGACUGUGAUUGAGUUAAUCAAAAUAUUUAUUAGACUUAAAUAAGUCAUUCUCUCGGCCAUACUAUAAAUUUUUCCUUUGGGUGCCCUAAAUCGAUUCCGCUCGUCUCUUCUCGUCGCCGAUCGCUAGGGUUGCCUCCCUGCCUCUUCUUCUUUUCUCAGAGUGGAGUGGUCUUUAGGCGAUGGCGGAGCACUUGGCUUCGAUCUUUGGGACGGAGAAGGACCGGGUGAAUUGCCCCUUCUACUUCAAGAUAGGAGCGUGUAGGCACGGCGACCGGUGCUCGCGACUACACACGAAGCCCAGCAUCAGCCCCACCCUCCUCCUCUCGAACAUGUACCAGCGCCUCGACAACGCUAUCACCCCCGGACUUGACUCUCAGGGCCAGCCUAUGGACCCCCGCCAGAUCCAGGAGCACUUCGAGGUCCUAAACAUUAUCAUCAUCAUCUUCUUCUUCUUCUUCAGAUGCUCUUAGAUAUUGGCUAUGAUUUAUGUAGGUCCAGGCAGGCGUGUCCAAUAAUAUUAUCCGAUUUCAAAAAAUAAACUUGUUUAUGUUGAUUUCUUUGUGGUAGUAAUAAUCGUUGGGGUCUUUCUAAUCUCGUAGUUAUCAGGUAUAUGUUUCACGAAGCGAUGCUAAUCCAUAUACCUCGAAAAGACUGAUCGUGUUCUCCAAACUUACUUGCUGCAACUAUCUUAUGAAUGUUGGAGUUAUGCCUCUAAGCAUUACCUCAAUUCAGGGAGGGGAGAAGCUGCCGAAUAGAAAUAACAACUAGGUGUAUUACUAAUUAAUUCUUUUUGUUAUUGCAAAUGAGAGAGAGCAAUAGUUGAAGCAUGAGCUUUAGCACUUAGAUUUCUGUUUAUCUUUAGGGAUACUAGUCUCAAAAUCUUUCACUUGGAUUUUGAACUUCUUUAGUAACUUUUGCUCGUUAUAUAACACAUGAAAAUAGCUUACAAUCAUGGGUAUGUACUGCCAUGGAGUACCGCCCUCUCUCCUCUCAUGUUUGCAUUAUGAAGAUACUUAUUGAAGUUCAAUAGUAUAUUCCUUCUCAACUAAAAUAGAACUUACUUUUCCUUCUCCCAAGUGCCAUAGGAGUCCUCUUGUGAACAAGGUAAGUUGUCUUUUUCAUGCCUUACAUUUAUAACUCCUUUUUGUAUAUGAUUACUGAUCUCUCUAUACAUAAAAUCUUCUGCCUGUAUUGUUUGAGUCACCCACAAGAUGCACAUGGAUUGCCACGUCAUCCAUUGGAGACUCAUAAGCUGGCUCAGCAUAUUACAUUCUGAAUCACUGUUAGAUGUUAGCAGCCUAAUUCAUGGCCAAAGCAGGCUGAUUUCGGAAUAAUUCAGGAUAGAUCUUGGCUGGUUUUGAUUGGUGUCCAGUUGGAUUAUGUUUCUGUCUAGGUUGCAUUGUAAUAAUGGAAGUGGUCCUAGAUUUCCCUGUCAUAUCUGUUUCCUCAUAUGUUCAGUCACAACAAUAGAUAUUAUGUUAUCUCUAAUCACCUAACAAGAGGAAUACAUGUGCAAAAUUAGGAGGAAAGGGGAAUAGUACUAAAUAAAAAAAUUUAAAAAUAAGGCAGUGAUGUUGAAGUUAGUAGUUACAGUAGCAAAUAUUUUAAGAUAAAACUUAGACAAGAAGUGACAUUUAAAUGUUAUAGAUAGAUGUGAUAAGUGUUAUGACUACUUCAAUGCUUGGAAGCACAGACACGGUGAUUUGGGUGAUGUACCCGGGUCCAACAUGUGUCGGACAUGGAUUCAUCUCUACACGAUCGAACAUGUGUUUUUUUUAUUUUUAUUUUUUUAAUUCGUCGGAUAUACCAUUCGCAUGUUGGACUAAGUGGUCACGUGCGAAGGUGUUAGGGAACCUCUGGAAUUUAACCCGGUGGUCGCUUGUCAGGGUAUCAGGAACCUUCGGAAUCCGUCUUCCUCAUGGAUAUAGGGAGGAUUUCGAUGUUAAAUACCACCUAUCCCGAUUGAACCCUAGCACAUCAUCAACUGCCCUUCUUCCUCACCGGCUUGGCUUCCCUUGCUUUGACUUUUUAAAAUUCUUUUGAUGAAAAGAUUAGAUGGUUAGUAAUUGGCUUCAGAAGGUUAGCAACCAUCGCUUCCUAUAUCAUCCUGGAUAUUAUCUAGUUCUUCUCAUGAAUAAACAUUGAGGAUUUAUAUGUAGAGAUUAGAUUUAGAAGUUCGAUUUUUUGUGUUAAAAUUUACUUUUCAUAAUUGUAACAUCUUGAUUUAGUCUCACAUCGAAAGUGGGUAAAGAUUAAGAUUGACUUAUAUGAGCUAGCAGUUUAGGCUCACUGAAGUUAAUAUAUUAGUUAUCUCGUCAGGCCAUAGAUGUGGCUGGAGAGCACGUCAUGAUGUGAAGCCAUCAUUGGGCUAAGCUUCAUAUUAGAGAGAUUAUAACAUUCUGAUUUAGCCAUUGAAACUUGGGUUGAAGUAUUUUGAGCCAAUGGUUUAGGCCUAACAAAGCUAAUAGGCUUGUUAUCCCAUUAGGUUGGGCUCAGACAAUGAUGAGAGGCUCGAGUAGGAAAGGUCUAUUCGUGGACGCGGCCGGGGAGCAUGUCACGAUGUGGAGCCACCAUUGGGCUAAGUCUCAUGUGCCCUCUUAUGGGGUUUGAUUCUAUACUAUGUUGGGCGUUGAUAAGGGCGUCAAGCCUUUAACUAGGGGGAGAUUAUAACACUUUGAUCUAGUCCCAUUUUGAAGUGGACAAAUGACAAAGGCUGACUUAUAAUGGUGAUAGGUGUACUACUAUUAAUUUUGGCCUAAGCAUUUUGGGCUAGUAGUUUAGGCUCAACGAAAGUAACCAGUCAGUUAUCCAUUAGGUCGGGCUGUGAAAAUAACUGCAUGUAUAAAAUCUUAAAUGGGGCUUAUCCUACCAAAUAAGUAAAUAGCUUAAUCUUGUAUUUUCUUUCAUGUUUUUACAGUUUCAUUGAGCUGGUUUUUGUAGCCUUAUCAUAGAAGUUUGAAUAAGCAAGCAUGUCUUAUCAUUUCAAGCAUUGGUUUGCAUGUUAUGAUAUUUCGAGAAAGAAAAAAAAGGCAUCUCUAGAGAUUAAAUAAAGUUGUUUAAGGACAUAUUUUGUUACUUUUGAUGUCAUUGUUAAUGGUUUCAGUUAUUUGUGUCAUUUAGUUGCAAUAUGUGAUUUUAAUGAAGCUGUGUUGACAGAAUUUUUAUGAGGAUCUUUUUGAGGAGUUAAGCAAAUAUGGAGAGAUUGAAAGCCUGAAUGUUUGUGACAAUCUGGCUGAUCACAUGGUACUCAACAUCUGAAUAUGAUGAUUGUUUUAAUUUAUGUUAUAUUUAAACCAUUAUCUCACACCUCUUUGUUUCAUUUGCAGGUUGGUAAUGUUUAUGUUCAGUUCAGGGAGGAAGAGCAUGCUGCAAAUGCGCUUCGCAACCUGACAGGAAGGUUUUAUGCAGGUUGUGUUUGUUUGCUUUGGUGUUCCAUUGUAUGCUAGGCCUUUUUGUGACAUUAAGGUUUAUCUUUGAUAAAGUUCUUGGUUCAUAACUUAGUUGCUAUUGUUUCUGUUGUCUAAUUCCUCUUUUUAGUUCUUAAAUGGAGUUGUAUUUGCAGGACGUCCAAUUAUUGUCGAUUUCUCUCCAGUUACCGAUUUUCGUGAGGCUACAUGUAGGCAGUAUGAAGAGAACACCUGCAACCGAGGUGGAUACUGCAAUUUUAUGCAUUUGAAACAAAUUAGCAGGUAUAUUCUAUUAUUAUUGUCUGACUUCUUUGCACUUUUAUUAUUUUGAGUUGCUUUUCUAAUAAAAUUUUCAAUUAUUGCCAGGGAGUUGAGACGAAAAUUAUUUGGGAGAUAUAGGAGGAGGCAAAGAAGCCGUAGUAGAAGCCGAAGCCCCUAUCGACAGCGAAACUUUGAAGACCGUCAUGUAAACCGUAGCCAUGGCAAGCGUCAUGGUGACAGGGAUCAGUAUAUUGAAGAACGAGGCAGAAAACCUCGAAGCCGAAGCCCAGGUCGUAAGAGGAACCGCAGCAGGAGCCCUGCAGGAAGAAGGAAUAGAAGUCCUGUCAGAGAAGGAAGCGCCGAGCGAAGGGCCAAAAUUGAGCAGUGGAACAGGGAAAGGGAGCAGGCAGAUGCUGCUAGAAAGAACAAUGAAUACACACAGAAUGGUCAGCAGCAGCAUGAUCAAGAAGAAUGAGGUCAUUGAUAUCUAUGGUUUUCUGGUUCGUACUUUGCUUCUUUGGCUUUGUUCUUUAAGUCGUAGAGAAAGAUGCGUCUUUGGAUAGCUACUUAUUCACAAAAAGUAAAGCUCACAGUCCAUUUUCCACUGUGCAGGUGGUGUGCAGGUUCAAAGUCCUGUUCAGUGGAAUAUAAAAAACUAAAAACCUUGUGUCUAGAGAAUUUCACAACACAAUCACCUGCUUGCCUGCAUUAUCGAUUUUUAUUUGACUAAAUGUGUCUUUUAGGUAUUAUGGCUAUGGCAGGGGAUACCCAGGAUAGUACUCAUUAUUUAAGCAUUCGUCCCAUAUUUUACUUAUCAUUUAAGCAUUCACUCAUAUAUUAAGUUUAGCAGCAUAUGGCCUACAAGUCCUGUUAAGAUAGAAGUAAACGCAAAACCAAAAACCAGUUCUAACCAUCAAUUGAUUUCAGCAAUUGAGGUAAAACAAAAAAUUGCAAUUUUUUUUUUAUAAACACCAGGCUUCUGAGAACCUUUGGACUAACAAGCAUCCUUUAUCAUGAUACUCGAAUAAUCAAAGGAUUUUAUGUCAGGUAGAAUUUUUUUUCUUUUACAUGCUUGCUUUGCUACUUGAUUGAGUAACGAGCACUUGGUUUUAUACCAUGUUGCUUUUCUCCUUUUGGCUGGUUUAAUUUAUCUUUAAGAUUCAAUGAGCUUAUCUUUUCGACAAGUUUUGCAGGUCCAGGUGUUCCUGCUCCUUGUGGGCUUCAAUUCAUCACUUUGUUGCUUAUAUGAACUUCAUUUUCAGGACAGGGGCGAUAACAUGCCAGUGAAUUCACCAGAGUCUGCAUCAGAGGCAGGGUGUCCAAAUAAAGUUACUCAGUUUCCGUCUAGGGUGCCUUCUACUUUUCAGAAUCUAAUGGAACCUUGUUAGCUUAGUUGUGGUGUUUAACAGUAUGUAAAAGCUGCCAUGUAGCGUUUGGAACUUGUAGUAUGAAGGUGGUUGGUCGAAUAUGAUUGCCUAUCGACAUCACAGUAUAUUACGAUAUUGUGGUACAUCUGAUAAUGAUGGUGGUUGGUCGAAUAUGAUUUGCCCAUAGAUAGCACAGUAUAUUAUGAUAUUGUGGUACGUUUGAUAAUGAUGGUGUUUGGUCAAUAUGAUUGAUUGCCUAUCGAUGUCACAGUAUAUUAUGAUAUUGUGGUACAUCUGAUAAUGAUGGUGGUUGGUCGAAUAUGAUUGCCUAUCGGUAUCACAGUAUAUUAUGAUAUUGUGAUCGAAGGUGAUCAGUAAUUCAUGCUUGCUGUUUAGGAUCGUACAUGAUGGUUUGAUGUUUGUUAAUUGAGUGUGUAUACAGAGGCAGUAUCUUCUUUUUAUUGAUAAAAACUGUUUAAGCUGCUCUUCAAUGGUUGUGUGGGGUGCUUCUUUUUUCUUUUUUAUUGUAAUUGACAUCUUCAAAAUUUUGGAGUGAGAUUUAGGUUUCAAACUCUUAAUAUUUAGUAAGCAGGAUUUAAUAUUUUAGUUAUUAAAAUUUGUUGGAUGAAGUUUUAUAUCUUCAAUCCUAAAUGGGUUUUUAUGUGUACGAUCAGGUGGUCUCUUACGUGGUGAAUGCACCAUCCAACUGCCAACCGUCAACAACCGCCGGUCUCAAAAGAAGAAACACUCCUUUCAUUGAUAUCACGUCACAGUUUCGACCUUUUCAAUUUGAUCAUACUGCUGAAUUAGAUUGUCAGAACAUGUAGUUCUUUUUUUUCUUUUUUUUUGAGACGGACAACAUAUGAUGAGAUAGACAACAUAUGACGCUGCGAAGUUAUCAUUGAUUAAACCAAUGAUGAUGUUUGUCGUGGCAGACCGGGUUAAGAUAAGAUACUCUCGGUCGGUCGGUCAGCAAAUUAACAGAGUUAUCUUCGAUUAAACCAAUGAUGUUUGGGUUAAGAUACUAUUGGUCAGCAAAUUAAAGCAACGCAGGGAGUAGCACUUAAAACUUUAUAUGAACUGACGACAGGAAUGCAAGAAAUUGAUACGGGCGUUGUCAUUCACUUGCAAAGCAUAUCAUCCACGAAACAGCAGUGUGAUAACAGUUCAAGCGGUGGGAACGUGCAAGAGAAGACACAUCCAGCACUGUGAACGCUACGAGUUCCAUGACAAAGCAUAGUAUACUGAUGAACGCAAUCGUAAGUGUAAUCCGCUUGAAGGAGAUUUACAUGCAGAGAGGCAAACAGGCUACCAACACAGAAGGGAAAGAGAAAAAUCCCAUUUCUCUCGUCAAAAUUCUCGGUAAGACAGGGAUCACAGACGAAUAGAAAUACCGUGAAUUGCUAAUUUUAAUGCACUAUAACAAGAGCUGUGACGGCACGAGGAUGGUGUUUGGCAUGAUCCCUCAAAUGGGGAUGAUCUGCUUCCAGUGACUUGCAAAUGAAGUGUGAAGCUGGUAUUUGUUUUUCCCUUUACACGUCUGUAUCGGCACCACCACCUCCGCUGUUGGAGAGCUUUUCCAAUCAGUGCAACACCGAGGGAGCGAUUCUAGCAUGAAGAAUGCAGCAUGUCAUCCUGUUAGCAUUGUCGUAACUGCUGAAGGAUAUGCCCGAGCAGAAAGAGCAAAUGCGUCAAUAUCUGGAACAACGUUCAGGACAAAGUUAAUCCACAUUUUAAGUCGAAUAAGCAAUUUGCUUACAUACAGUCAUAGUAUUUGCAGAUCUAAUGCAGAAUAUUCAGAAAUGACAGGCCAGAGAAAGCAGCUUACCAACAGAACCAAGAACAACCAAUUUGAGUUCAAAAUAGUCCAAUUGGCACAUGUGUUUGGUCCACUUUAUCAUGCUCGGCGACAUCCAUGUUUUGGCAAAACCUCUGUGACAUACAGUGAGCAUGCACAAUCAGAAGCUGGCCAGGAGUGCCGUUCGUGUUGCUUGCAUCGUCUUGCUUCUUUGAUAGAUCCAAAUAAACAGUCCCUUUAUACAUCCAUUCAUCCCGUACUUCAGAGUAAACAUCUUCAAAUGGUUCUCCGCAUAAUGCACAUAUGCUUUGGCUCUCAUCAGCAGGAACCAUCAGUUCAGAAUCCUUUUCAGAUGAACCAACUUCCUCCAGCGAUAUUGCCACCUCUGAGGAAGAUUGCUGAUAUCUCAUGUCUGAAAACCAUUUUCUAGACCUUCCGUUAAAAUUACUUGUUUCAGACUCCUUGGAGACAUGCCAAUCUAAAUGCCAUUGGAGCUGCUCCUGGAGUCUGAACCUUAGACCACAUUUGUGGCAUUGAAGCUUUAGAUCAUCAAAUAGGCUUCUGACAACUGAAGGAUGAGAUCCACGAAUGAUUUCAGAUUUGAACUCAGUGCCUAAAUGCUCCUUCAAUUCAGUUGCACUGGAUUGUACUAGUCCAGCACUUGCAGUGGAUACUGAUGCAGCAGGCUGGUCUUCCAAAGGUGGAGCAACACCUGGGGUAGUCAAGCUUAAAGAAACUUGCUCUAAACUAUUGUUAGUGCAUUGAUCUCGGACCUUAUCAGGCAGCUGAGCUGCGGAUGUAGUUGUCAACACGGUUGGUGGUGAGGCUAUUAAACCUUUUGCAACUAAUGAACUCAGAAUACCAGAAAGUGGACUCAGAGUGGGCCCAGACGUCUUGGAGUUCUCUGAAUUAACAUCAACCGAGGAUGAGGAAGGCGGAGGCCCAGGUGGUAGAGGAGGUACCACAUCUCCUGAAUGUGGUGGUUUUAAAUCUGGUAUGCUCCCAAGGGAAAAAGCAGGUGUAAAUGUUAAGGGAGUACUUAAAGGAGCAGCUGAUGUGAAAACCUGGACAGGAGGAGGUCCAACUGGCAAAGGAGGUUGUACACUCAUCUUCUGGAAGUUGCUGACUGAAUUAUUCGAAAAUAGACCGCUAUUCAUGAUAGCAGCCAACAAACUACUUGUGCUAGACUGACUUGAGGCUUCAACAACAGGAUUAUUUGCAUGGCUCAUGCUUCUGCCAGAGUCUUUUCCAGUCUGAUGAAUUCCAAGAUCCAUGGGCAGAGGUGGCAGUUUCUCAGUUUGAUGGGAAGGUUGAGACUGGGUUUUGAUCUUAAGGGAAGGUUGGGUCUGGGCUUCAGUUCGAGACAAAGGCUGAGUUUCUGCCUGUUGUUGGGAUAGAUUAUGUCGUGAUUGCUUUAUCAAAGGAAGAUGAUUUAAGGAUGCUGAAGUAGCAGAAUCAAGUAAGCCUUCAAGCUGCUGAUAAGUAUCUGAUUGGGACUCUAUUGAGCCUGAUAAACUAUCAAAUGGCUGAGCACGAUUCUUCACUGGAAAGAUAUCCAGGGACCCUACCGGCUGUAAAGGCUUCCGACCCACUUGAGAUAAUGAAUUAAACAACAGAAGAUUUUGAUCCGUUAAGUCGUGUGGCUUUAGAUGUUGAAUGGGUUCUGGAGGAGGUAAAUGAGAAGACAGCGAUAGAGGAGGCUGUGAAAGAUGCUGCCUUUGCUGUUCAGAAGUUGCACCUGGCACUGGGGUAUUAGCGUGAGGGCUCAAUCUUGAAGAUAGCACAGAAGAUUGCAGCCCAGGCAGAGGCAAAGAUGAAUUAUCAUGUGUAGAUAAACCACCACCAGAAGGGAUUAAUUGUUGACCAACUCUUGAGCUUUUGUCAUUUAUUCCAACCUCUGAUGCUGGUACAUCACGGCGAGACCAGAAGGAUGAGGAAUUUUCUGAUGAAGCCCUUUGUUGUAAUAGUGAAUUUGAAGAGGUCUUUAACACCGAAUCAGUCUCAUGCUUGGCACGAGAUGGCAAAAUGUGCUCACCAAAGUCCUGCAUAAUAUGAAUAUCAUUAGCCUAUACAUUUCAAUGGUGUAAGCAUUUAUUUGACAAGCUUGAAGUUGAAUCUAUCUGACAAAUACAAGUAUUUCAAUAAAAGUGAACAUAUCACCAUUAGCAAGAACAUAAAUAAGUUCCAACUAAGAUUUCUUACCUGAUAACACACUGAACAUUCAAUUUGGAACAGCUCAGAAUUACAAAGGAUCCAUAUUCUAAAAGAAACAUUCAAGUUGCAGACCAUAACAUCAACAAAACUACAUGCGGUAUCUAAUAUGAGAUAUAAAUAGUGCAUAAACUUCUAGCAUCCUGCCAAGCUGAAAGGAACUGUUUCGCUUUGCAAUGAAGAAUAUGCAAGCAUGCACUAUUAAGUUCAAGCACCAAGGGAAAAUAUUGAAGUCAUUAAAACAAUGAAUACCUUAAAAAGUGGAAUUCUGCUUUCGGUUUUAGACGUCUCCACUAAGUGAGAGAAGGCAUCAACUGUGUUCAAGUUAGUUUUUGCAUGUUCAGUCUCCAGAGGGAUCCACUUUCCUCUUUGCAGGCUAGCGGACUUGUCAGCAUUGCCACUAGUCCAUCCACCUUUGAUUGAGUUGUUGGUACCUCCAUAAUCUGUUGGUCGGGUUUUUAUGUCAUCCCACAUAUAUUCUUCCUCCUCAGAGUUCUUCCAACUUCUAGAUGAUUCCAAUUUCAUUCUAUCUGUAUCACAAACUGAAGUUUGCUGGCUAUUAGCUCGCAUAGGUCCAGAUUUCCCAUAGGUUCCAUAAGAAUGAUUGACAUCAAAACCAUUCCUUUCGCUUAAUUGUGCCUGAGUAGCAGUAAUACCAACGCCAUAAUAUGGUUUGCCAUGCCCAUCUUGGUCUUUGAGCCUCUCGCUGACCCUUGGAAUGCCAAGGUCUGCCUCUCGUGAAAUAUCAGAAGAAUAUUCAUGAUCUCUAGCAUCUUUAAGUCCUUUUUUCUCAUUAAUCACAUUGUUUACUGUUACCCGUUGUGAAUGUUGCAUAUUCUGCAAAAUAGAACUUAAAUUAGCAUAAAAGAUAUAGAUCUUUAACUAGAAGACAAAGUUACUUCUAGAAUGUGAAAGCUUUACGAGCAUCUUUAUGAGAAACAACAUACAGGCAUCUUAGUAGGCAGAUUUGUCCACUGCCUUGAUUUUCCUGCCAUAACAAUUUUGUCAGAACUCUCUGCAUCAUCAAAAGUACUAACCACACCACUGACCUCAUCAUUGCUUAUGUCCUUGGCCUUCACCAAACAAAAUGGAUAUCAACAUAACAAAAAAUAUGUGUAGAUAGACAAAAAAUUCUUCAAGAAAAUACAAUAAAUAUAUAAUGGAGAAUAAUUCUUUUAGUGCUCGUUCAUCUAUUUAGGACAAGAGUAAACAACAUGAUAAAUAUCUUCACAUGCCAUAAGUUACAUGAUAACCGUAGCACACAUAUGCAUGCAUGUUUACUUAUGUUGACCAAGUCCAUUAAACCUGUAAUGGUAGAGACAUCACAUUUUAAAGGAGAACAAGACAACACAACCCCCAAUUCUUUCUCUCUCCCUCAUUUUCCCCCUCAUCGCCUCCAUCAUGCAACAUGCAACAUUAGCAUCAUUCCAAAUUACACAAUCUUCAAAACAUCUAAAAUCUGAUGUGCAAGCCUCAUGCAAUGGGACACCAUUAGGAAUAAACAGUACUAAAAACCUCAAACUAUAAGUUGAUGGUUACAGAUAUAAGAGUGCAGGAUACAGGAAUCUAUUUGUAAUCAUAAUAAUCAGGAAUUAUAAGCCAUUUGCCUAACAUUUUACAACCAUGAGGUUACGGUAUUUCAUGUGCUAUAUCUGAAUUAUUGAGUGAAUAGUGUUUCAUUUUUCACUAACAAAAUGUUCACGAACAGAAAAAGCUAUUAUGUGGCCUAAGUCCAAGAAGUAAACAAAAUCCCGUCUUUAUUAUAAAAACGUGUGAAUACUAAGCUUAUACAAAAUGCGUAAUCCUAUGAUGGACAUAUAGCAAGUAAAGAAAAAGCAUGGGACUUUAAGAUAGCAUUUGGUGUCCUAUAAUAAUGUAACUCAAUAACUUUUUCUAGAAAAACUCUGAAAAUGACAAAAAAGAAAGAAAGAGAACAUAUAUAUCACAAAAUUGAUACUGCAGACUUAGCCUUUGUUAAAUCAAACUACAAAAGCAAGAAACUGAAAUGAAAUCUGGAGGUUAACAAAUCAUCCUGUUGUGUGGUCAAACAAAAGGCCAACUAUGAAACAUCAAAACGGUACGGGCAAGAGGAAGGGGGGGUGUGUGGGGGGGAUCGGGGUAGCAUCAACGUCAAAAACCAAACCAAAAGGAAAUGGAAAGAAAAAAAAAGCAAAACAACAAUACAAACCGCCAAUGGCAUCUAUAUGUCAUCAGUUUCCAGAACAUCACAAGAAAUUAAAAACAAAUUCCUAAGAAAAAGCGAACAAGGAGAAAACAAGGAAAAGAAAGGGACAAAGAAGUUGUGAGACCAAAGGGAAAAAAAAAGAGGUAGUGCCAACUCCACCGAUUGACAUUGACCUGGCCAGUCAACAAGUCAUGUAAUAAUUUGAAAAACCAGAACCAAGUUGGGUUCUAUCUUUAUACCUAUGUCAUAUAUUUUGGUUUUUUGACUUAUUUGGCCCAAAACCAUGUGACUCAGCCAAGUCACCAAGCUAUUCAUCAAGUUUUCCAACCUUGCUUAACAGGUCUACCAGGUUAAUUAAGAACUGAAAAAAAAAUCCCAGUAGACUAAUUUUCCUGUAUUUGCUUGGAGAAGGGGACGCUAAGAUAAGAGAAAGGACGAGCAAAUUCCCAGAUCAAAGAUCAUACCAUGUUCAAAAGUAAAGAAAAAUCUAUUUCGAAAACUUUGGAUGUGCUUUUUAAAGUCUGAAAACACCCGUAAAUCCUUAUAAUGAGAAAAUAAACUUGCAGAACAGCAGUUUAUGACUAAAGAAAGGACAGGAAAUCUUAAGCAUGGUGCAAAGGUAUAAACAUCAAUUUUUUUGCCUCAUUCCUAAACUGUCAAGGAAGCUCAAAAGCACAGUCCAAGGCUAUGGAAACCAGAAAGCUCUAUAGGGCUGAUUAAAUACCAAAACAUUGCAAGUACAGCAAGCUUGACUAACAAAAUAUAGCAUAAUAUUUUAGUUUUCUUUCUCAAUUCUCCCAGAAAUAAUUGAUCAGAUCAUUCUUUCCAUUAAUCCCAGCCUUCUAAACAAGCAGCCAGAUCCAAUACCAAAAGAGUCGAACCUUUAUUGCAUUUUGUAUCACAUAGACUUUUGUCUCUUUCAUAGUAGGAGGCAUAUCUCUAUGUCCAUUUGCAGAACACUUUGGUACAAUACACUGCCUACAUAAAGAUGUAUCUUCAAAAAGCUUUCAUGCGUCUUUGACGCAGGACAUUAAUGACAAUGCAUGAGUUCAUAUCCAGAAACUCGCAGUACAACUUGGAUCAGUAGAUACUAAAAAUGGAUAGUCAAUACAAGUACAUGUGUAAAAUUCAAGAAAAUAUUUCUUCUUAACCUCUUUUGCUCCUUAAUCAUCUAGCUAACUCAGGUCAACAUGAACUAAUUCGAUAAAUAUCUUUUCCUUUUUCCAGUAAGGAAACAUCAUUUUUCAAUUAGUACAAGAAAAAUUAUGAACUAAUAUUGACAAUUUAUAGCCCAUUUAUCCAAGAAUCACUACCCAUAUUUUAUUCAUUUAAAUCACAGGAUCCUUUACCAGUUCAUGUACCACUUUCUGCAGUCUCGUUUUCUAUGUAACCUACUAGUUUAAGCAAUUUCCAUGAAAAUUUCCACAAUUUUGGACAUCUCAAUGCAAGAACACUGAUCAACAAACAUAACCAUGUCAGAUGGACAGUGUAAUGGUAUCGUAGUGACAUUUACAUUGACCAGAACAUAAAUUGUGAAACCAUUAACACACUAAAACAACACAAGAGUACAAAGCCGAAGGAAGCCAAUAACCAUGAUAUCUGAAAUCAUAAGUGGCUGGCUUACCCUUGAGGAAUGCAGUUUCUGCCUUGCCUCCAAGUAUUUUGGAUUUACAUGAAUGCUGUGGGCUGGACGUUGUGGUUGGGAAUCAAGUUUUGAUGAUACAGAUCCAGAUGAAACAUUGAUAACCGGUGGGAAACCAAGUUCUUUUUCAAUUAACUGAAGUGAGGCAGGGGGGAACACUCCUCUCCAUGUCCCAAAAAGAUGUCUCAUACUAGGACGAAUAGAAGAAUCAACCUGUUUAUAGGCCUUGCAGAAUACCUAUAAAUAAAAAAUACAUAUAUCACAGAUCAAGAACUCGAAGAUGAAAUGACACAAGACAAAAAGGAGAGGGUGAAAGGAACAGAAGCCAAAAUAUGCACAACAGCAAAUAAUGAUGCAAGCUUCGGAUAUAUUAAUCCAACAGCAGAAUCCACCUCAGGUAGCCUUGAAGCGAAAUAUCUGAUAUAAUCUCUUCCAAUAUUCUUCACGAUACUAUCUAGGAGAUACAGGGAAGGUAACUUUUGUUCAGUGGCCACCUGCAUAUCAUCAUAGGAACUAUAUAUCAUUGUUAUUCCUUCAUAAUGAAAAGAAAACAAUACAUAAGUAAAGAAGGGACAAGGAACUGAAGACACAGGGAGAUCAUAAAAAACUACAGAAAAGAAAUGGAGAAGAAUUUUACAAGCAAUUACGACUAUCUAAAAUAAAAAAGUUUACAGAAGCCAUUGAUUUAUAUUGAUAAUUGUUAAAGGAAUAAUGUGGAUUACAGAGAUAGACAUUUUGAUAACGAUAAGGUAGAGAGAACAAAAGGAACAUAAUUCAAGUUAUCGAGAAUGGCAUGCUUCCUGAUUCACACUUUGCUUACCUACUCUGGAAAUGUUGCACAUAAUUGGUGUUUCGAUGAAAGAUGGGUCUGAGCCUCAAAUUUGUUACAUAUAAAUCAUAUUUUAUCAAUAUGGACUAAUUUCAAUAAACUAGAAUAACCAAUGUUUUCACAUUUUUUAGUGAGUAUAAAUUGAGAAUUUAAAAUGGAAUAUCUCAGAACAAUGGGCUUACUAUCAUCUACUAACUUUUACGAUGCUCCCAAUUCUUCUUUCUCAUUCACUCUAAUGCUGCUAAAUCUAUCAGAACAAGUGCUGUUCACAGAUAGUAGUAAUCGAGAACAUAUUAAAUUGAGAAUACACUUUUACUACAUCUAGGCACAACAGCUUCAACAUUGACCAGAGCAUGAAUCGUGUGGCCUGCUCAAGCCUAAGCCCUUUAGAUAAGUUUGAUCAAGAUUCAAAAUCCUGACAGCAAAACUUGAUCAAAAUAUUUAAGCCAUUAAUCGGAUCAAACUUCACAAGGAUUUCAUUGAAAGCCUAGCCAGUCCAAAAUAACCUGUAUACAAUGGUUUAAAAUCUGCCAUCCCAGCCAAUAGUGUCCAAGAUUAGCCAAUUUGACCCCAAACCUUCAGCUUUUGAGGCAAAGUGAUUCUAACUCAAAGAUCAUUUGGAACUGUCAAGGAGUUUGGCGUUGCAUAUCCUAGUUGAUUCCAGCCAAUUACAACCAAUCCUAAGCUUGAAUCAAUUCCAGGAGAUUUCACCAGAGACCAUUGGCCCAACCGAUCUCAACCACACAGAUUCCCAGUCUCAUGAUGAUUCAUUUUGAUUGACACUUGAGAAGAUCGCACCAAUAAAAUUUAAUGAUAACGAAAAGGUGCCCCACCAGCCAUCAGCAAAAAUUGCACUUCUCAUCUGUUACAUAUCAUGGUAGGAUUCCAUGUGAAACCAUUUUACGAGCUGGACAAAUCUAACAGGUACAAGGGACCAUGAUAUGCACAUUGGAGAAGCCAGAUGGAGAAGAAACCGAUUGGAAUUUAAUUGAUAAAAAUAUCUUUUAACUAGAUUUUCCAGACCUAUCCUUUUGCAGCUUUAAUCCUAAGGCUGCAUCAAUAUAUCCAACAAGGUCGCUAAUUAUAUGAGAAAUGCAUGUGCAUGUAUUGAUAAAAUAAGCAACAACUUCAGACCCUGUCAAGGACGUCUGAAAAACCAUUUUGUUGGUAAAAAUCUUCAACUCGACCCCACAUCAGACAAUAUUAAAUCAUCAACAAAUGUAAGUCCCUCAAGAAGCACAUAACCAUUUGAUGAAAUUGUUGCAUUUUUAUUGGCGAUUCAGUGGACCACAAACCGUGAUCACGAUCAACCUAGUAAACCAAUUGCUCACUCAGAAGUGUGCUGGGUAAUAGCGUCACUUGUUUGUUUCACCUGCGCAUGCAGAUCAUAACCUCGAGAUUAAUUGGUUCAAGGAAACAUUUACAUCAACUUUAUUUAAUUGGGUGGACAAGUAGCCUUGAUCAGAAGACAUCAGAGGAUCGGUCUUCUUUUACACACAGAAAUCGUGUCAUCAUCGGUGGGAUUGAGUAAUGGGAACGUCUCUCAGCCCAAAUACUGUUUUUGCAAGCACUUACUAGAUCACAAUCAUACUGCGUCACCAUAACAGGACAACAUCCUCCUACGCCACAUGAUAGGAUCAAGAAACUUGUCUUUUGACAAUCUAUUUCACAGAAAAGAUCAAAACUUUGUGAUUUAUAUGAGUUCAAGUACAUCAGGUCACCUCGAGGACAUUGGCGCAGAUGACCGCGGCAAUUUCCUUCGCGGCGUGAAGACUCUCUCCGGCAAUAAUGGUCAGAUUGGUGAUGAUAGGCUUUGAAUUGAAAGUUAGUUCGGCAAGGGCCGUCCUGUACUGUGACACGAGCUCUUGAUGCGAUCCUACUGGCGCAGCAGCAUCGUCCCUUUCCUGCCUCUCGCGAGCCCUAGGCAACCUAGAAACCAACGGCUGGUUACCGGCCCUGGCUGGAGGGAUCAGGCGGUCCCGGUCGAAGGCGGCGCGGUCCCUCACCACCGCGUCCUCCGCCACCAAUCGAGGCCGCUUCGAGCCAGGCUCUCGGGAGCGAUCCAUGGCGGAUCUGCGGGAGCUCUCCAUCUCCAUCCCCCGGGAGAUUCCGGCAGCCCUAUCCUUAUCGCUUAGUGGUCGCGGGACUCCAAGGAAGGAGCUGGGCCGCGCGAUUCAGGGAUCCAAGAGACCUACAAAUAAGAGAAUUGGGGCGGAAACGAAACCCUAGAUCGAUCGAGAGCUGGAGUUCGCAAAGGGCCGCGGGAGGGCGCGACAGCAGCAGGUGCGGCUCGCAUGAGUCGUGGUUAAUUUGUAAUUGCACCGGAACGGUGGAGGGUAGUUUCGACUUUCGAGAAUCGAAGCGGAAAUAUAUGUUGGACGAGAGACUUGCCGAUGUUUUAGAUGACGUAUCAAUUUCGUUUGGCCUAAAUCAUAAGUUAAAAUACUUAGAUUGAAGUUAAUAAUAAUAUUAUUUCUUUAAUGUUGUUGACUAUGAAGUUGUCACGACUUGGUUUGAUCAUGAAUGUAUAAACUCGUUUAAGGGGUCCAUGGGGUUCACGAGAGGAGAUAAGAGCAGGAAGCGGACCUGGUUAGCAUGAUCUACUUGCUCACUAGACGCAGAUUUGGUAUCAUCUUUAGGUGUGUCAUAGCCUUACCAAGACCUCUACACAAGCGAUCAAUGUCGAGGGGAUAUUCUCGACCCAACCCCUCUAAUGGUAAAGUUAGUUAAGAGGUGAAAAUAGUAAAAAUGGUUUCCACUUUAGACUUUGGGGUUGAUUUUUAUACUUGAGUGAUCGAUGGAGUGCAGCCUAGUGUGUGAGCCUUCUCAAAAUCAUGGUUUGGGGGGAUGACAGGUUGUUUGUGAUAAAUGACCUAAACGAAGAGGAAAAUCGAGGGGAUGAGCCUCGUUGCUAAGGAUUAAUGCAUCAUGCAGUUGGCUCAUGUGACCCUCCCAAAGAUUGGAGAUGGACAGAGGCUGGAGGAUCAUGUUGCUACUAAUGAUCGUAAGGGAGAGGCGCGAGUUCUUUCACGCAUGUCAUCACCCAAAUGACAGUCCAUAGUUAGAUGAAUGAAAAAAAUAAUAUUUACAUUAUUAUUUUUCUAGUAUAAUCACCUGACCCUUACAAGUAAUAUUAAUUUUAUCGUGAUGUUAUAAAUCAGAUGUGAGUAAAUAGCAUUAGAACCAUACCUUUACGUCUAAUUUAGCUAUAAAAUCGAGUUGGUAGCUCAUGAGAAAGUCAACAGCGACUAAGUUAAUCGAAGGAAACAAAAACAAAACUCCUUUUCUUUUCUUUUUGGCUAAAUUAGUUGAGACAAUAUAUUUUAUUGUGAUGACUAAGUCAAUCAAAAUUAGGCCACGACGCAUGUCGAAAGAUAUCCCGGCGAUCCAUUUAUUCGAAGGCCAGCUAUCAUGAGACGUCAACACAUGGAGUUGCAAGUCUUGCAAGACGAUAACUUCAAUCUCUUUGGCAGGAGAUCCUAAAGAAUUAGCACAGUGGAUGAAAACAAGUUACGAUUAGGGUGGGGAUCAAAGCUUUGAACUCCAUGCACUCUUGUGAUCUAUAUAUAAAUGAUAGUGCUCUAUUCGUGUGAAGCACGUAUGCCAUUUUCCUUCAUCUCCUCUCCACCACAAGUUUACACUCUGCAGUGGAGGAGGAACAUGACGACGCGGAAUCCAGAAUGGCUUCAAGCUGAAGAGGAGAAGGAUUAAAUGGUAAGCCGCAUUUGAUGAUGCCAUGGGGUUUCUUCAUGCCUCGGCUUGCUUCUGUUCUCCUCUUCAAGCUGAAGAGGAGAACGAACAAGAUCACCUGAUACCUUGUCGACGCCACCUUAGCUUACACUCCAGGCUUUUCUGCAUUAUAUUCCGCAAGGUGAUAUCAGAUAGCCAAAAACACCGAGCAGUCGUUGACUUGGUGAUCUUACAGUGAAGUCGUAAGAGAACAAGGAGGAAUGCAGCAGCUUUCACUGUUCUGCCGACCAUUCAGCGGCCAUCAGUUAGAGACAAACUACAUCGAAGCAAGCACAUGCAGAAAGGGACCGACCCCGCAACUUGGAUUCGCACAAAAGCUUCGCGUGCCUGGCGAUCAUGAAAGCUGACGAGGGAUCCAAGAGACAAGAUGUGCGUCUUCAUCUUAUGAUGAUGCCUGCAACUCGGCUCCACCUACAUUCCUUCCUCUGCCUGCAUUCACCUUCCUUCCCACGGUCUCACCAGCUUGGUGAUGAGUUAGUUCUUAACGAAGAGGGGAUGUGGACUUGUGCUUUUAUUAAGUAGUACGACAGUAAAGUAUGAGAUUAAGCGUCCAAAUCCGGUUCUAAAUUAGCAGCAUGACAGGAAUAUUGGAUGUUGCAGUUGAUAUGAGGACAGAGGAAUGCCACCAAUCAUUUCGGCCACAUAAACAGUGCCUCCAUACUUGCAGCGUGUUGUCCCCUUAUGCAGCAACCAAGAUGUACACUUAUUGAAUGCUUAUAUGCAGCAUCGGGUGGCCCUCUCUCUCGCUCUCUCUCUCUCUCUCAUCUGCACAAGUAUUACAUUACCCAUGACAAUAAACCAUACAUGUAUUUGUCUCCUAUGUUAAGACAUACCACAUGAACAAGGAAGGAAUCUACAACUUAGCAACGGAGUACUGCCAACCAUAUGUAUAUUAUGUGGUCGGGCCUUGAUUGGUUCAUGCGAGUCUCAAAACUAUAACGCGAGGAAAUGGACGAGGAUAAUUCUCUUCCAUGUUGUGUUUGCAUGCACCAACUUGAUUUGUUUUCCUUGCUUCUACAACACAGCCUUUGAGGAGCAGAGAUAACGAGGACCAUGAUUCCUGCAAGAUAAAACCACAGCAGUCAGUCCACUGUAACAUGUGGCGUUGGCUGUCUUCCAAGGCCCCGCCCAUAUAUAGCUAGCUAGCUAUUUCAACCUCCUCUUCUGCUCUUGGUUGGAGGUGGAGAGGAGCGACAUCCCCUUUUCCUCUUGUUCUUCUCGUUACGAUGAGAGAUCUUGCCGGUUGCUUUGCGAGCCAAGCUGCCAGAGUCGCGGAAGCUUCAUGCUCUGCCAACCGGAACUCGUCGUUGGUCGCGGAGCGGCCGAUUCAAAAUGCCGUCACUUGUUUCUACAGAACCGUGCUCUCCACCCACAAGGAGCUGCUCACCAGGGUGGUCUGGUCCAAGCAUCAUCAAGCCGCCGCUUCCCUCUCCGUCACGAUCCAGGACUCCACGUCGAAUGCCGUGGAAUCCCAGCUCCCGCAGAAGACGAAAGGCAGCCGAUGCUUCGUCGCCGGCGACUCGGUCAUCGGCCUCCACUGGGAUAUCUCCGCCGCCAAGUACGAGAUGGGGCCUGAGCCUGCCAAGGAUUUCUACGUCGUCAUGAUCGCCGACGCCGAGUUCGCCCUGUUGCUCGGGGACAUGUGCGGGGUGUUCAUGAAGAAGGACGAGGGCGCACUGCCGGUGGCGGAGUUCUCGGUGGUGAGCAGGAGGGAGCAGGUGCGCGGCGCCACUCUCUACUCGACCAGGACGCAGUUCGGGGGCGACGGGAAGAAGCACGAGAUCUUGAUCCGAUGCAAAGGAGACGAGUUGGACGGGGACGACUCGGAGCUGCACGUCGCGGUGGACAAGAAGAUAUUGGUGAGCGUGAAGAGGCUGAAGUGGAACUUCCGGGGGAACCAGACGAUAUUCGUGGACGGGUCGACCAUCGACGUGAUGUGGGACGUUCAUGGCUGGUGGUUCUGCGACUCCUCCCACUGCGCGCUGUUCAUGUUCCGGACGAGGAACUCGCCGCAGCGCAGGCUGUGGUCGGAGGAAGAACUGGCGCAGGGGACGAUGUCUGGGUUCUCUCUACUGAUCCAAGCCUUCAAGAGCCAGUGAAGAAGCUGACGAGUGAUUUGGCCGAUCGCUUCUCCGUUCAUGUAAUAUGUCCUCCUCUUCCUUUCAGUCUUGCCUCGGAGCACUCGCUGCUCCGUCGAGAUUUAAUAUGUUUUGAAGGAUAAAACAUAACCAAAGAGUUAAAAUGUAUUUACAUCCACAAUCUCGAUCGUGUCUUUGUGUUCUUUGAUAGGUUGAUUGGAAGCAAUUGUCUUGACAUUGAGAAUUUGGAAGAAAUCUUGAUAAAUGUAGUGUCAAUGAUAAUAAAAUUGGAGCUCCUGAAAACCACCAGCCACAGUCUGGACAUCGAAUCAAAACUAGAAAAAUGAAUCCAUCAAGAUUUGUAUCGAAUCUAAAGAAACCUCUCUAAAUCUAGCAUUACUCCAGCAUGAACAAAAAUUUCAACACAAAAACUAGCAUUACUCCCAAGCUCAACAAAAUAUCAUCACCCAGAGUUUUGUGGAACUAUUACUUCUGGUGCACACUUGUGUAUUACAUGACAACAGGGCAAGCACAUCCCAUUCCAAACCAUUGAGAAACAUGAGAUAUAAUACCACAGAGCCUUAUGACAGAUUUAUUUGCUGUGAUCAUGUUGCAACUUCACCAGUAUAAUACUGUCCUAGUGUGUGUAAGCUAUGGACAAAAAGUUUUCCUUAGAAAACUUCUACAAACAUUUCUUCCCAUUAUUUGCUAACUCUUCUACUAAAACAGAGAUCGCUUUCUAGUUUUCUCACAUCUCAUACAGCAGAAAACAAAAUGGGAAACCAUUUCCCUUUCACAAAUUGUUGUUUAGUUUUCAUGGAAUUAAUUUUUCCAUGAAAAUCCUUUUCCACCAUAUUUCUUGGAACCAAAUGGAUCUCAUCAUAAACAUACAAUUCAAUGUCAUAGAAAUGAAUAAACUACAAUAAGAUUGACUAAACUAUUUCUGUAGAAAUACGAAAAGCUAUCGAGGAUAAUUAAAAAUGUUAAGCAUCGUGUUACAAACAAAGCACUUCCCAUAAAAGAUUGCCAAAUUUCAUCUUUUCAACAUGAUAUUAUGAUGAUUAUUAAUAACCUUAUAUCAGCUGUGCAAAUCCAGGCACCAUCUGUAUCAGCUAAUUUUAAAUCUGAUAAGCAGUGUAAGAUUAACAGGCACAAGGAAGAAUGAAGAUGUGUCAUUCGGUGGAUCCAUCUAUGGUGCACAAGAACUAUUUUAUUCAAAAAGGGUAGGAAUGUCAAAUUGGCCAAAAAUAUCUAAGAGGCAAAAUUAUGUUAGGCUAUUCAUGGAGAAAAAGCCUUUUACACAUUCUUCUAAACAGAAAUAGGACUUUCCAGCAUUUUAGCUUUUGGCCUCCGCAAUGACUCUAAUUUGGUACUUUUUCCAGCCUUAGGACACACACAAUGUAAAUAUCUCAGCGUUCCUCUAAAUAUGACAACUCAACAGAAUAGAGAAUGCCUUGAUAGAUGGCAGGCCCAUACAAGAAUUCGUACAAACAUGGCUUGAUUAUGCAUAAUAAGGGCAGACUGGAAAAAGGACAUGCAAACCAGCUGUUUGUACAAAGUAGAUGGCCAUUACUCUUCUGAUAAACUACACUUUGUGUAAUUACCCAUAAGAACAAGAAAGAACAGAAACAUAGCACCAGAAUUCGGCUGUUCAUCGAAUUUUGACAUCUAUAUUGAACAAAAAAGAAUUGCAUUACUCUUUGAUUCACUUAGUAUAUCAAUGUCAAAUAUUUCACUCGGAAAGAAAAAAUAUCAUGACACAAAACAUUUGCAUUAAAGGAAAUGAAACGUUUUGAUCGAUACAAAAAUUGCAAGUAUCAUGUAGAGAGGUACAAAUAUAUAGCUCAAGCUCAGCAUGUUGACGCACGCAGCUUACAGCUUGGUGAACUAAAGCAAAAUAAAGCAUCCACAUUUUUCAAGUAGAUAUAAUAAUUACUUUUGACUAUUAUUUGCAACAAGAAUAUCAAUGCAUUUUGCAGUUUUGUCUCUGGAUGUUGCACAUGUACCAUCUACCUUCAGAGGCAUCUCAAGAUCCACCAUAGAGAAGAUUAAUACUAAUACUUUGAUACUGCGAUUUAGCAUGCAGUUAUAACACAAAGAGAUGCAUGGAUGGAGUAAUGGGUAACUGUGUGUAGACAACUAAGAGUAAAUGAUAAAAUCGUCAUGGUUAAUCUAAGAUGGAAAAAGAGAAAAAAAGCAAUGACAGACAACAUGAGAAAACAAAUAUAAUUUUCUUUUAUAGGAUGUCCCAUGGUGAUGCGUCUUACUCAAAAAUGCAUUAGGUAUGGCUUCAUAUACGAGUCGAGAACAAGAACAAAAAUCUGUCCAACCUAUCCAACAUCUUAAAAUGAAUAAGUCACCACAUUCCUUCAAGCCAGAAAAAUCUUUCCAUUGGCCGGGAAAGACCAUGAUGCCCUUAUGGUUCCACAUUCGGUAGAUUAGAUUAGUCCAUUAGAUUAGAGGAGUCACCAUAAAUUAUUUUGGCUUUGUGAGAUUGGACCACAUAACCGAAGCAUAUUCUAUUUAUGUUACUAUUCUAGUAGCUGUGUGCGAUCAGAUUGUGAUAAUUUAAAAUUACAGCAGACAAAUAUUGGCAUAAAAAUGUUGUGAUCCCUCGAGCAUCAUGAAGGAGAGGUAAGGGUAGGUUAUGAUCAUCACAAAAUCUACUUCAUAAAUGUGAUCAUCAUUAUCGUACAUGAAAGACACCAGCUUUAAUCAGAGAGUAACAAGCACCUUGAGAAGUAACAAAAAUGUGCUCUUACAUAGUAUUCCAGAAAAGACAUCCGGUUUCCAAGCUAUCUUGUUGAUGUCAAAGUUGAUUUCCUUUUCCGUAAUUAUUGGUUUUCAACUAUUUAAGAUUAUUUAGAGAGCCAAGAAGCAAAAACUGACUUAUAAUUGUCCUCCAGAAGAACUAAGAUAGCAGAUGAUUAAUCAUCUUUCCACACGAAGAUAUAUAUUAAAAAGAAUUUGUUUCUCUCCCACAUAAAUUUCUCAUGUGAUCAGCUGCAAGAGAGGUUCAUUGUCAUCUUUGGCAGAUUAACACAAUGAAAGAAGAUUGAGUUACAUAGUCCUAAGUAUAAAUCAUGUUUCAGCAAAGAUGUAGUUGCUGAAACAUGCCCUUCAUCAUCAUCGAACAGAACAUAAGGGAAAACGUUGUAAGGUGUUACAAAAGAAUAACUUCCUGCCCAUGUACCUUUCCAGAAGAAACCCUAAACAAAAUGGAUACUAAAAACUUCAAUUUAUCAUGAAACAUUGCGUCUGGGAUCUGAAGCUGAAACUUACACUACAACAAGUUUAAACAUCAUCAAUUGAAACAACAGGAAGUGCAGCGGACCUGAGAUUUGAUGGAGUGAUGGUCCCAUGGAUGGCCUCCCUCACCCUCUGGUUUCUAUCCCGGCUUUGAGAUUAAGCUGAUCCAAGAAUUCCAGCGGCUUUGCUGUUUGCUUCUUGGUCCUCCUAAUGUUGGGGCUAGCCAAGCUCCCAUGAGCAAACCCAUACAUCCUCAGCACCUGGUUGUCCGCAAAAUUGAAAGCUCUCUCCAUGCUACUCAAGCACCUCUCCACAGGAUAGUCCCCAUAGCUACCACAUGGCUUGCAGCCGACGAAGUGCGUCACGAAUGGCCACCUCUCGUCCCCGAGGCCGGGAUGAUGCUUCUCCAUCAUCUCCUCGUACCUGUCCACCAAUCCAGCCCAGUAACCAUGGAGGUAAUACGAGUUCUCAAUGUAGACCUUGUCGCCCCACUUGUCCUGCUGCGACAACAGCAAGUAUAUGAGCGCCGACUGAUCAUCCGCCUCGAAUGCAGGCCGGCCCUUCAGGUUCGCCGUCAGUAUCUUGCCGGCCUCGUCGCGAAUGGGGCCUUUAGGCCCCAUCGGCGCCCAAGCAUCGAGCAGAUCAAGGAUCCACUGGCAAUUGCGCAGCAGGAAGCUCCCGGUGUUGAGGCCGAUCCAGGAGUGCUUCUCGAAAAUGAGAUCUGGAUAGCCGUGGACGACGAGAUUAUGGGCGGCGUAGCGGUCGAGAGGGAUCUCGAAGGCCAUGUCCGUGAAGAGCGCAUCGCUGUCCAUCCACCAGAUCCACUCCACCUCCGGGUGCGACAGCAUCAGCCGCCGGAUAAGCGGGAGCUUCGCCCAGUACCCGGCGAGUUCCCGGUCUAGGUGCGCCAUGUUGUAGACGAUCUCGAUCCCGUGGAGGCGGCAGUAGUCGAUCUUGUUCUUGGUCGCCUUCAGGAGGUAGUGAUCGCCGAUGGAGCUGUCGCAGGGGUUGGGCGGCGAGCCGGUGACGAGGAGGAUCCGCGGCUUGCCUCCGGGGGUCCGACUCGGGAACCCCGGGUUCUCGCCCAGCCACCGCCGCCGCUGCUCGUCCCAGUCGGAGAUCCUGGGGCCGAGGGUGUAAUUCUCGGCGGCCGCGACGACGGCAGCAGAGGUGUAGUUCAGGGAGGCGGCGGUGGAGUUGAAGCCGAAGGGGAUCUGGUCCGCGUCGUCGGGAUCGGAGUCGGAGCGGAUCUCGCGGAGGAUGCGGUCGAUAUCCUCGACGACCUUCUGGUCGGCGGCGGCCGCGUCUCCGCCGGCGCCCGCGAGGCUGCCGAUGCCGACGGUGCCGCGGAGGACGAGGAUGGUGACGACGCCGCAGAAGACGGUGAUCUUGAGGUUGUUGAAGGUCUUGCGGAUCUGGCGGCGACGGGGGAGGCGGGAGCGGGUGGCGGCGUCGGGGCGGUCCCUCGCCGACGUCGGUUUGAGGCCGGCCGCCUCCUGGCCCAUCACGGCAACUCUUGCGGUCGGAAGGGGGACUCCGAGUUCAGUCUCGUCUCCGCUCGCCUUUUGUCGGAGAGCGAAAGACUCCGCGUGAGGGAUGUAUUUGUAAUUACGAUCACCGGCGCAGAUCCUGUGCGUCGGCCAAUGCACCGAAGAUAGAACCACGAUUAUUAGUGGGAACUUUUAAUGGGUCCCACAGAUCCUGACCAGUCACGACGUCAUAUUCCUUGGCUGGUGCGUCGGCACGGACAGAUGAUGGAUCCGAUUCGACAUUCUUGCUUGACUUCCCUUGUGGUCUCCCACGACGGAGGAUGUAUGGAUCAGUCAACAAAGCUGUUGGGUGAGAAAUACAUCGUGCGAAGCAGUAGAAACAGAGGAGUGUAUAGUUUAUUGGCUGACAGCUUGAACGAACAGUAGCGGACCAAAUAAACUAUUGACAAUGACGAAUAUGUCCUUUAGACGGUCAGUGGCAGUUAGUUCUUGAAGCAUCAUCAUGGAUUGUAGCAUCCACAUUUGAUAAUGGUCAAUCUCAAAUGCAGGCUAUGUUUUAGUUAGCGUAUGAAUUAUAAUCGACUCAAUUUCUGAUACCCUUUUGUCACUAUAGUUGAGACGUUAUGCCUAAGGAAGCCUCAUUCCCCAUCCGGCAAAAGGACUAAUAUACGUCCUCAUCGGACAAAUUGGUUCUUCAACCAAGUGUUGGGUAGGCUAGACGGUCAAGUUAUGUUUCUAAUACUAUCUAUCUACUACAUCAAAGAAAAGGUCGGUUGAGGUUUGAGGACAAAUUGGGUACGGAAGAGGAUUGGAUUUGGAGGAUCGCACAAAGUAAUGCUCUACACCACCACCCAAACCAAGAAGCCAAAGUGUUGGCGGAUUAACCUCGAAUAUUCUAACCAAGCUUUGGAGCAUAACAUUAAGGGAGCAACUCCACAUCGAGGAACCACUAUCGGUCGGGACCAUUGAAGCUCAAAAGGCUUCAUCCAACUGGAACAAAGGCCUCGUCCGAAACGGGGCUCCACAUUUCCGAGUCAUCAUCAUCGGUCAUGUGUUGACCGAUCGAUCAUCUGGGUUCAUAGGAGUCAUGUGACUUAAGGACAAACUAGAAAGAUAGAUACGACGAUGAUGCCUUGGACGAUAAUUUUUUUGCAUCCUCUAAUAAAAAAAGAAAGAAAGAAAUAUAAACACUUUUACAUGUCAGGCUAAAGAUUUUUUUUUUUUGUAAGUUGUGGAUGUCCAAGUUCGAGCCCCCUCAGGAUUCACGGCCGGCAAGUUUCUAGGUGGAUGAUGUUUUUGGUAAGUUGUGAAUGUCUCAAGUUCGAGACCCCUUAGGAAGGAUUCACGGCCUCUAAAGUUCCUACCAGGAAAAUUUUUUUGGUAAGUUGUGGAUGUCCCAAGUUCGAGACCCCAUAGGAUUCAGAUUCACGGUCGGUAAGUUCCUAGUUGGACUCAUGAUGCAAAGGUGAGCGGAUUGUUUAACUGGGGCUCUCCAAGUUCACACAUUCUUGGCCUCCUCUAUCCUUAGAGUUACUGGUUUAGACCAGAAUCACUUAGACAAUGAUCAAGUAAAACCCAAAAAAGAAAACAUUUGAACGGGGAGAUGAUACCUAGGAGAGGAGCAAACAAGCAGAGCAGACUCGAUCAACAAACCCUGCCUUCUACCAUUAAGCAAUCAUCUAAAAAGAAUCAAGUUCUUACCAAGUAUGUGAAGGGUAGUCCCAUCAUACUGUUGUCUUUGGUAUCAAGAGCUACAGGAUCCACAUUUCACCUACAUAAAUAAGAAAUGCAAUGAGAAAUGUAGAAGAUGUCUUGUCGUUGAUGUCAAGAAAUACAUAAUCCAAAUUUCACCCACAAAAAUAGUAGAUACAAUGAAAAAUGUAGGUGAUGAGACUAGCAGGUUUCCAGAAAUCUAUCAGCAGAAUCAUGGAGUAUUAAUAUAGAAACAAAAGCACAAUAUUACCAGUCACAGGCAUGCGAUACAACUUCACUCCUUUCUGUUGGUAUGGAUCUUGCAGAUGUUGAACCUUACAAUGAGAGAAUUCAGCAAAGUUUUAAUUGGCAGGCCUGAACUUUCAUUUGCUAUAGAUCACACAGAUUAAGAUUAUCUUGGGUGGCAGCAGCCUCUCAAUAAGAUGAUAUAACACAAAUAUUCUUUUGAGUCCAGAUAUUAGCUGCGAUUACUCCGGUUACAUAACCAGUCAAUUGGAAGUUUGAGGAAGUUUACACUAGUACACUACCAGUGAUAUUUAUAGCCAUGACUGGCCUGACAAAGUUUCAAAUUCAUUUCAAAGAAAUGUUUAACACAAUGUAUGAGGACAGUCAGUAAUCUAUGGACAACCAAUAACUUUAGAAGGCACAGACAACCCAUAACUUGAUCAUGAAAACUAGACCACAUGAUAGAGACCUCUGCGGACUUUUAUCAGAUUUGCUGUUUGCUCUCAUAGGCUUGAAUUCUCUGCUCAAGCUGCACAAGAAAUACAUAAGUAAGUUUGCUGGCUCUACAAAUGGCAUGCUUUAACAUAAUCUGAUUUCUAAUGUUGACAGCAAUUACAAAUACCACUAUCGCCUCAACUUUUUAUGUUCCAAACGAUCUAGGAUGGUAAAUAGCACUAUCACCUAAAAUUUUAAUGUUCCAAACAAUGUAGGAUGGCAUUGAUAACAAUAUUUGGAACAUCCUGUUACAUCUUAGUUACUUAAUUUGUGCAGCAGCAAUUGCAAUAACAAUAAACAACAUUCUCUUGAUGGAAGAUCAUGGUUACUCUAUCAUAAAGUGUGUCCUCAAUGAUACUAGCUUAUAAAACAGACACGAAGAAUAACUUUUCAUUGGCUUGAUUAACCUAUUCCUCCAACUUGUCUAAAAAAUCUAGUAAAGCAGUAAGCUCGUGAAGAUGACAGAUUCACAAAACCACCUUACACUGUGAAUGUGAAAUAGGAAUCACAAGACGGGCCACGGUCAUCAUAUAUGGAUUUAACUUGUGGUCAAAUGAGACCCUCAUAUAACACACAGGAGCAAGGUCACAACUAGCAAAUCAUCUGGACCAUCUAUCCAAUGAUCACUACUCAUGGUAGCCCACCACAAAUAGGCAAGCAGCAUGCCAACAGCAACUAAUUGAACAACCUCAAAGUCACAUCAAGUAACAUCACUAUUACGGAUACACCGACAAAUCAUAUUAAUCUGAUCCAACCCAAGCUAACAGAUUUAGUUUUAUAUAAUUAAGUCAUCUACUUCCCUAAAUUAAUUGCAUGAUUACAUCCAACUUUAUGAUAUUUCAACACUUUCAGUAAUCAAGUAGGAUUUAUUUGGGUGAUUUCAAGUCUAAUUAACUUUGAUUUAUUGCACCAUAUUAAACCAAGUAAUAUGGAAAUCAACCACUUUCAGGUUCAAUUUCAUAAAACCAAUUUAAUAUGCUAAUUUAAGCUCUAACAGACCACACUGGGGGUUUAGACAAAAAUGAUCCCAACUUAUUAAAAUUAACUCAGCAUUCUAUGAUUUGAGUUAUAUACUUUAUCAUUUUCUCAGACUUAUGAUUCUUUAUGAAUUUUAAUUGAGAAUGGUCAUUAUGCCUUUUUCCCUUCCUCUAUAUAGACCCUUUCUCUCCUUCCACCCUCCCUUUUUUUGGCUCCCUUGGAGUCAUCAUACACCCACACUGACCAGCAACCUGCCCCUCUGUUUGACCCUCUUCAGUGUGAGGAUUCACAUCCAGUAACUGAGGCAACAAAUAGAAGAUUAUGCAAAAGUAGGUUUAGCUGGUUAAGAACAUAUAGAGAAUGUCGGCUCGCCUAUAGCAGGUUAAUACUUCGACUGUUGAUAACAAGGUCUAAGAAUCCAAUCCCAUGCUCACAACUUACCAUUUGUUAGGAAAAAAGAAAAAGCAAAAGUAGCUAAGAAGAUGUCCUAUUUUAUUGAGGCAUUUGACAGGAUAAUCUCCUGGUGAAGUGCCAAAGAAAUUCAAAAACUGAAGCUAAUGUGUAAUAAAUGUUUAGCAGCAAAAUCAUUCAUAUGCAAAUUUUGUUUCCUGAUAAACAAAUGCAUGUUUCUGUUUGUCAUAUAUUCACCAUGGUAUCAAGGAUCACCCUCUCAUGAAUUUAAAUAGAUAUCAUAUAUCAUUAUGCGAUAGAGAUUAGAGCUUCUAACCAUCUUCAUCAGACAUUCUAUGAUUAAGUAUCACUUCAUUAGUAGAAAAACGUCAAUAUUUUAAUUUUAGCAACAUAGUUUUGUUCUUCUGAUAUCUUAAGAAUAUAAGUAUAUAAAUCUUUUAGAUGGAACGGCACUGACAAAAAAAUUAAUAAAUAUGGUAUGAGCGAAAGGUCCAUUAUUCAACACUUAUUCAUGCCACACUUAUAAAACAUGAUAUGUCCCCAAUCAAUUCAAUUCACAUGUCUUGGGUAUGAGUCAAUCUAUCUUCCACAUGCAAGUGUUAAGAAUAUCAGUUAGAGCUUUCAGCAGAAUAUCUAUGAUCAGAACUUUAAGAAGAUAUGAAAGUCUCAGUUGAAUAUGUUUGGAUUCAGCAGAACUUAAGAGUGUUUUGAGACAAGUGAUAUGGUACCCUGCUUAAGGUGAUUCACCAAUUGAUCAACUAAGAGGAAGAUAUUGCAAUAAACAAAUAAUCAAGCCAAGUUCCACAAGAUCCAGAGAACUAUUUCCAUAGCAUUUUCAAUCAAACAAAAAGAAAUCUACCUGCAACAUGGUGUCAAAUUUGCCCCGCAGAAGAUAGUAUUCAUGCUUGACCACAUUUAAGGCGCGGAGACACCUGAAAAAAUAAAUACCUUUCUCACCAUUAGGUACAAGUCAAACACGAGCCACGGGAGACCUAUGACAAAACCUUCAACUAGUAUACGGAAAGAAGAAAGACAAUAGUUGCACUCAAAUCAAUGAUUAAACUAAUAUUCAUUGCCGUUAAAGUAUGUCAGUGUUUAUAACUCUUUUUGAGAAGAGGAUUGCAGACAUCAAUAAAAAGCAUGAAUACAGGUGACUUCUAAAUGAUUUAGACAUUUGUGAAUGCAUAUUUUGAGCAAGAAUACUAACCCUUCUUUGUUAUGCUCCUCGCAAAAUUGUCGAAAUUGAACACAGGCCAAUUUCACAUGUUGUGCACCAACACUGCAAAACAAGAGACCCAUCAAAGAAAGAAAUAAAUGAGGUUCUCAAAAGAGGCAAAAGUCCCAAUAGUUUCCUAUAUUAGGUAACUGUUUACUUCAAAUUAGAGGUACACAGUUCCUAGAAAUUUAUUGCAGUGCAAUAAGUACAAUAUUCCUUAAGAAGAUUAUCAUGAUUCAUGAACAAUUGAACAUGGCAAAGUAAACCAUCUUACAAUUCAAAUAUGCAGGUGAACUCUUUAUGUAAAGUAACAUGUUUGUAUGUCAAGGUUCUCUAACCAAGAAGCAUUGGCAUGGUCAUGAUACAAUAUGAGGAUGCCUACAUUGCAAAUCUUAGAAAAGUAGGACAUUACGAUAUGGUCUCACCAUACUUGCGAUGUAUAACUUUGUAUAACUUUGUAUAUGGAGAUAUAUUCUGUCCAAUUUAGACAAUCCUUAAUCAUAAUAUAUGUAACUUAUGAGGCGCACAAGGAAUCAGACAAAGAACAGUCAUUCACAGAAAAUACUUGAAGAACUUAUACUAAAUAUUGAGGAUUUUUGCAUUCAUGAUAACUCAAAAUAAUUCCAAGAUGCAUACAUGUUGUCAAUAUUUAAACACAGAGAAACCAUGAGUUAUGAUAAAGGAGGUCAAGCCUUUAUCCUAGUGCAUUUUCAGCAUUAGGAACAUGUCAUGAUGGAUCAGGUAUCACUGUUCAACAUGGACAUCACAAGACAUUAUUUUAAAAUACUUGUUCCCAUAUUUCUUUCAUGCAUGCUAAGAAUAGGUUAUGUUUCUGAAAUAAUUCCCUGGUAAUCAGCUCUCGUUUGAUAACUAUCUUUCUAAGUUCACUACACCGAAAGCUUAUGAAGUUUGAUUAACCAUCUUGAAAACAAAGCUCAGGUACCAACUAUAAGUUGAUACUUUUCAAAAUAUUUAAAUAGGGUUUUGGUCUCUUUUGUUCUAAAAUCACAAGAAUAAAGAGGCAACAUAAUUUAUUUAAGGGAACUUUUAGUCCCAUAUGGGAAAGAAGAAUAAAGGAAAACUCCUACAGUUCUUUCUGCAUGUAUGACAUGGGGAAACUUGACAUGCAAAGCUUUAUAGGGAAGUUCAUCAGCGGGGCUGUGCAUGUGCUGAUGCACAUGGCAUGUGUUGUAUGGUGCUGGUGACACAUUAGUAGGCCAAGUACUAGAACAUCACAUGAUUGUCCUGUGUGCGAGUCAGAUCGGAUUUAUUUCACUUUUCCUGUUUGGACAUGUAAUAAGUGAAGUUAAAAAAUAAAUAAAUCAAUGGUUGAUUUCAGACUUCCAACGGUUUCAUGUCCAAAUUUCCAAUGGUUGGAAUUUAAAUUCAUAACUUACAGAAUUACAAUUAGAAGUUACAUCCAAUAUAGAAAGGAACCAUUUAGUUUGCAAAAACCAAUAUCUCACUGAAAAUCCCCUUAACUCCUUCAAAAUCUCUCCUCAUUCAAUCUUCAUUUUCCAUGGAUCUAACUUGCGUACUAUCUAGUUACACAAAGAUAGUGUACUAGUGUUUAACAGCAACUUUUCUUUAUGGUUAUUCCUCAACCGCUCAACGUAUUAAUGUCUACUGAGUCUCUAAUUAGCAGGUAAACAAUUAUAGCUGCUAUGAGUGAUCAAGUCAAUGGCUGAAGAAAGAAACAUCCUCAAGUUGCAAAUUACAUCAUUCUGGAAUGCAAACAGUCAAAGAAACACACAAUAUAAGGAAAAGUACAAUCACCUCGAGCUGCUUCCUUUAAGUUGGUGAACAAAAGCAUCUACCUUUUGAUAAUCAACAACAGCUUGAUCCCUAUAGAAUGAAAAGGCACAUCUAAGCAUCGGCGAACUUUAAAAUAAGUUAUACAAAACCUGAGAAAAAAUCAUCGUCGCUAGAACACACAGCAGUUUCGUCAGCUCUGCCAGUAUUCUUUCUGAAUCUCCACAGAACAAGGUGAUCAAUUCAGCAAUGAAGCCAGGACUACUCUCAUCCUGUAGCAUCUGAAGCUGUUCGAACUGGUCAUCCAACAAGCCCUGCAAAGAAGAGACAUUGUACAGAUUAAAGCGGCUCUUGAACGUCACGCGACUACAAAUCCUCAGACAAUAGACAAGAAAGUGUAAUAAACCAAAUCCUAACCUUGACACAAAAUCUUGGUUAUGGAAACAAACAAAUCGGAAGUCAACUUCAAGUCGAUCUGUAGAUCCAGAACAACGGAGACCACGACACUGAUCAACAAGAACAAAGUACAAAGGUCCGGACGGAGAAUACUUCGGACGGCACACUAAAAUGCAUCAUGAAACCAAACCCUUGCACGAGAUCCGACACGGAAACGACAGAUUUUAUACAAGAAAGCAGAUAUCACAACAAAAAUGGGAUUUCCCCCCUUUCCGAGAGAAGAACGAACCGAAAGCACUAGGGGCGAUUUUGGAGUACCUCGAGGAACAUGGAAUUCACCAAACCGUUGAGCUGCUCCCUCAGCGCCAUCAGAGACAUCGAGACAAAGAAAAGAGGAGAAAGCAAAACCCUAGGGCGAGGAGGAGGAGAGGAGUUAGAACCUGGAGCGCAUUUGCCGCUCGCGAUCGUGGGGAAUCGUCUUGUAACUUCCCAAACAAACAAAGGCCGACAAAGAGAGCAAAACGGAGACGGCCAUUAAAAUAUGUGUAACAGCACCGAGAUGAUGCAUGCGCGAUGCCUACGUUUUCUGUCUUUGUGUGUUUUUAAUGCAUGUGAUGUUAAUAAUAUUAUAAACGCAGGGCAUCUGAUAAAAUAAAGGUUUGAUUCCUUCUGCUCCUCCAAACAACUUUUAUAUAUAUAUAUAUAUAUAUAUAUAUAUACAUAUAUAUAUAUAUAUAUAUACAUAUAUAUAUAUAUAUACAUAUAUAUAUAUAUAUAUACAUAUACAUAUAUAUAUACAUAUAUAUAUAUAUGUAUAUAUAUAUAUAUACAUAUAUAUAUAUAUAUGUAUANNNNNNNNNNNNNNNNNNNNNNNNNNNNNNNNNNNNNNNNNNNNNNNNNNNNNNNNNNNNNNNNNNNNNNNNNNNNNNNNNNNNNNNNNNNNNNNNNNNNNNNNNNNNNNNNNNNNNNNNNNNNNNNNNNNNNNNNNNNNNNNNNNNNNNNNNNNNNNNNNNNNNNNNNNNNNNNNNNNNNNNNNNNNNNNNNNNNNNNNNNNNNNNNNNNNNNNNNNNNNNNNNNNNNNNNNNNNNNNNNNNNNNNNNNNNNNNNNNNNNNNNNNNNNNNNNNNNNNNNNNNNNNNNNNNNNNNNNNNNNNNNNNNNNNNNNNNNNNNNNNNNNNNNNNNNNNNNNNNNNNNNNNNNNNNNNNNNNNNNNNNNNNNNNNNNNNNNNNNNNNNNNNNNNNNNNNNNNNNNNNNNNNNNNNNNNNNNNNNNNNNNNNNNNNNNNNNNNNNNNNNNNNNNNNNNNNNNNNNNNNNNNNNNNNNNNNNNNNNNNNNNNNNNNNNNNNNNNNNNNNNNNNNNNNNNNNNNNNNNNNNNNNNNNNNNNNNNNNNNNNNNNNNNNNNNNNNNNNNNNNNNNNNNNNNNNNNNNNNNNNNNNNNNNNNNNNNNNNNNNNNNNNNNNNNNNNNNNNNNNNNNNNNNNNNNNNNNNNNNNNNNNNNNNNNNNNNNNNNNNNNNNNNNNNNNNNNNNNNNNNNNNNNNNNNNNNNNNNNNNNNNNNNNNNNNNNNNNNNNNNNNNNNNNNNNNNNNNNNNNNNNNNNNNNNNNNNNNNNNNNNNNNNNNNNNNNNNNNNNNNNNNNNNNNNNNNNNNNNNNNNNNNNNNNNNNNNNNNNNNNNNNNNNNNNNNNNNNNNNNNNNNNNNNNNNNNNNNNNNNNNNNNNNNNNNNNNNNNNNNNNNNNNNNNNNNNNNNNNNNNNNNNNNNNNNNNNNNNNNNNNNNNNNNNNNNNNNNNNNNNNNNNNNNNNNNNNNNNNNNNNNNNNNNNNNNNNNNNNNNNNNNNNNNNNNNNNNNNNNNNNNNNNNNNNNNNNNNNNNNNNNNNNNNNNNNNNNNNNNNNNNNNNNNNNNNNNNNNNNNNNNNNNNNNNNNNNNNNNNNNNNNNNNNNNNNNNNNNNNNNNNNNNNNNNNNNNNNNNNNNNNNNNNNNNNNNNNNNNNNNNNNNNNNNNNNNNNNNNNNNNNNNNNNNNNNNNNNNNNNNNNNNNNNNNNNNNNNNNNNNNNNNNNNNNNNNNNNNNNNNNNNNNNNNNNNNNNNNNNNNNNNNNNNNNNNNNNNNNNNNNNNNNNNNNNNNNNNNNNNNNNNNNNNNNNNNNNNNNNNNNNNNNNNNNNNNNNNNNNNNNNNNNNNNNNNNNNNNNNNNNNNNNNNNNNNNNNNNNNNNNNNNNNNNNNNNNNNNNNNNNNNNNNNNNNNNNNNNNNNNNNNNNNNNNNNNNNNNNNNNNNNNNNNNNNNNNNNNNNNNNNNNNNNNNNNNNNNNNNNNNNNNNNNNNNNNNNNNNNNNNNNNNNNNNNNNNNNNNNNNNNNNNNNNNNNNNNNNNNNNNNNNNNNNNNNNNNNNNNNNNNNNNNNNNNNNNNNNNNNNNNNNNNNNNNNNNNNNNNNNNNNNNNNNNNNNNNNNNNNNNNNNNNNNNNNNNNNNNNNNNNNNNNNNNNNNNNNNNNNNNNNNNNNNNNNNNNNNNNNNNNNNNNNNNNNNNNNNNNNNNNNNNNNNNNNNNNNNNNNNNNNNNNNNNNNNNNNNNNNNNNNNNNNNNNNNNNNNNNNNNNNNNNNNNNNNNNNNNNNNNNNNNNNNNNNNNNNNNNNNNNNNNNNNNNNNNNNNNNNNNNNNNNNNNNNNNNNNNNNNNNNNNNNNNNNNNNNNNNNNNNNNNNNNNNNNNNNNNNNNNNNNNNNNNNNNNNNNNNNNNNNNNNNNNNNNNNNNNNNNNNNNNNNNNNNNNNNNNNNNNNNNNNNNNNNNNNNNNNNNNNNNNNNNNNNNNNNNNNNNNNNNNNNNNNNNNNNNNNNNNNNNNNNNNNNNNNNNNNNNNNNNNNNNNNNNNNNNNNNNNNNNNNNNNNNNNNNNNAUAUAUAUAUAUAUAUAUAUAUAUACAUAUAUGUAAAAGAAGUACAAGGGGAUGACUUGGAAAUAAGCCAUUUUUCAGAAAUAUUUUCAUUUAUCUUAUGAUUAUUUUUAAUAUUGUUUAAAAAAAAUACUGUAUAUUGAAUUGAUAUAUUGUCUUAAAAUAUUAUACUAAAAUAUAAAUAUCUGAAAUUUAUGUUGAUAUUUCUGUAUUAUGAAAUAUUCUAUAAAGUCUUAAUAUUUGUAUGUUAAAAUUUGAAUUGUAUUUCUUAAGUUUUACUUUUAACUUAAGAAAUAUUCUAUAGAGUCUUAAUAUUUCUGUAUUUAUAUUUAUUGAACCAGUUUGUUGAACCAAACCUAAACCACAUCAAAGAAAAAUGAUAAGAAGAUUGAAUAGUGACCCCUCACCUUCUGAGGAAUAAAACUGAAAAAGUCCAAAAAAAAAAUGAAAAUGAGAUGUUCUUUGAGAAAGAGCCAAAACUAGUGUUUUCUUUUUCCUGAGAAUUUUCUCUGAAAUAAUUAUGGGUGCAAAAGUUCAUAAAAAAAUCAAUAGCCUCCCUACUAACAUUACAUGGCCAAAUAGAACUUCACAUUAUUUUACUUAUUCCUCUACAGUUUGACAGCCAUUCUAAAAUAUAUACAUGAUAUUGAUGUACCACCCUUGCUCCAAAACCCUCCUAUAAUAUUCACUGGGCCAAAAAGAAAAGGAUCAAGCAAGACCUUUUCUUGUGAAAUGGUACAUGGUAUUGUCAUGACUAUGUUCAUACUUAGUCUACAAAACCGUAGUCUCUAAUGAUAGGCACAGUCAGUUUCAUGACCACAAGAGAAAGAACAGCUUUGACAAUGAAAUUUUGGUGCAAUUAAUGCAUAAUCGUGAGGACUGUGUUGAGCCACCAAGGAAUUACUAAACCUAAAGAAUAAUAUACCCCAUCGGAAUAGGAAUAAGAAUGGCGAUGGUGCACACCUGUGUGCUUGUUCAUCAUGCAGGAGAGUUGGAGCAUGUUCUUCCUUUGAGAAAAGGAGCUUCAAACAAUGUCUACCUUUGAGAAAAGGAGAGUUCGAGCAUGUUUUUUGCUAAGAGAAAACUCCUCCAAACAAUGUCUGCACCAAACAUAUAUAUUCUUCCGUUGGGAGUUCCCAUACCUGUAUGUAUCUCGAUGCACUAGAGUUGGAGUGGUCCAUCUCCCUUCUUUGGAACAUAUGUUCUUGUCAGGACAUUCUUAAUGGAGAUGUUCUUGUCAAACACCUAUGGUUAUUAUUUUACUAUGUUACUGUCACCCCAUCCACAUCCAGAUUUCCCUGUCGAAGGCCAUGAUCAUGUUGCUCCUUUUUUCUUAUGAGAAAAAUGAGCUUAAAACGUUGGGCGAUGUCUGCACCAAACGGUGGCAGUUCCCAUACCUGUAUGUAUCUCAAUGUACCAGAGUUGGGAGUGGUCCAUAUGCGCCUUUUGUGGAACACAUGUUCUCAUCAGGACAUUCUUAAUGGAGAUGUUCUUCUCGGCACUUAAUGUUGUUUGUAUGUUUGCCUGUCAACCUAUGGUUAUCGUUUGACUAUGUUAAUGUCACCCCAUCUACAUCCAUAUUUCCUUUCGAAGCCCAUGAUCAUUAUGUUGCACCAUUCUUUUUUUGAUAGAACAUGUCGCCUCAUUUGUGUAGCAAAUACUUUUUGGAUUCUUGUACAGUUUAAUCUGAUGGCUUCACCAAAUGUACUACCGACGAGCAUUGCGUGUUGGUUCAUGGACGUUUUACGAGAACGAAAAGGUUUCAUCUCCAGGUAUCAAUCUUCUUUGGAGACAAAACUAGCUUUCUUGCUGACUGACUCUCUUUGGCCAUGAAUUCUCAUCUUUUGAGCACCAAGUUUGUAGUCGCCAGCUAUAUUUCUCCAUCAAAUAUUGGAAGGCAUAUGUUAUGACGAGGGCGCCACUCGUGUGUCUCGGCUUGCCAGCGUCGCCUGUCACGGUGAUCCCUGUCGCUACGGUGCCGAGGUGCGAAGACGACGGCACUUGCAGGCCUCGUGGCUGAGAGCUACGGUCGAUCCGCCGAGGCACGAGAGCCGCACGCAUCCUCUCGAGGCACGCCCCAUUUGAUUACCAUGUCAAACCGAACGAAGAGAUGGCUGCCACCAGAUCUGUACGAUGGAGACGAAACCCCUCGGGCAACCACACCCUCGUCUUCCUAAAGCUAUACCGGUUGGUGCAAAAGGAAAGAUAUGUAUGGCUUCCCCUGCUAUUGUUACAGUACCAGCGAGCACGACUCAAAAGGAAAGAUAUGUAUGGCUGAGAUGAAGCAUCCCUUCCUGCUGAACUCUACAAGGAAGAAGGUGACGAGCGGAUCAUCUCUGAACCACAGGAUCCACCUUUCACUUUCACCAGCCAACAACAAGCAGAAACAAGUCAUGUGUGGUUAGCAGACAUAUCAACAUUCCUGUUGCAUCGGGACUAAUGUCAUCUGCAUUAAGGAAUGAAGAAGAGGCGUGCCAAUUUAGUUUGGUCAUUAUUAUCUCUUCUCUGAAACUUAUUCCGCCUCAUCAGAGUAACCUACAAAAGUGAUCCUCGUACCACGAUAUAGGCUUCCUUUCUAAGUCAGAGGUCGAGUGAAAGAGUAGAAGAUGGCACAAUACACAGUUGAAAGGUUCAAACACUGAUCAAGAUGAACAUACGGAAGAACAUUUUCCUAAUAGACUCUGCUUCCUCCAAAUCGUCGGACCCCUUGACCUUGGCCGUCGCAGACGUGUGCUUCAUGUCGUGUACAACAACGCUACGGCCCUGCAACCGAAGCACAGAGUACGUAGUUCCCACCUCAGGUUACAUCGAGUCCACCUGUGUGUGCGUGUGUGUGGAUUUGGAGGUCAUACACAGAGACGAAGAACAGCAACGAUCGAUGCCAUUUCAUGCCCACGUACUCCCUGUGAUGAAUCAUAAUCAUAACAUAUCUUCCCCAAAUCCCGAUACAGGAGCACGAGUAACGGUGUAUGGCUUGACCGAUUCUGUACAGAGGAUGAUGAGCAAAAGGAAGGGACUCUGAUCCGGAGCUCCUUAGCAGAUCGAGCUGCACUGCGCCGAACAUGCGCCGAGCUGUUGCGUAGGGAAGCUCGUAUCCCUCCGCUUGACUCGGACCGGAAGGCCGCCCUCCAGUGAGGCGGUGAGGCCGGGCGCAAACUUGGGCGGCAGGCUGCUGCCGUCGUCUACGACGUGGAUGUCGAACCGCCGGACCACCGCCACGAUCACCGUCUUCAUCUCCAUCAGCGCCAUGUCCUUGCCGAGGCACACCCGGAGGCCGCCUUGGAACACCGGGUACUUGUAGGGGCUCUCGGGCGUGAACGCUCCGUUGGUCAGCCACCGCUGCGGUCGGAACUCGUGGCAAUCGCUCCCCCACAGCUCUUNNNNNNNNNNNNNNNNNNNNNNNNNNNNNNNNNNNNNNNNNNNNNNNNNNNNNNNNNNNNNNNNNNNNNNNNNNNNNNNNNNNNNNNNNNNNNNNNNNNNNNNNNNNNNNNNNNNNNNNNNNNNNNNNNNNNNNNNNNNNNNNNNNNNNNNNNNNNNNNNNNNNNNNNNNNNNNNNNNNNNNNNNNNNNNNNNNNNNNNNNNNNNNNNNNNNNNNNNNNNNNNNNNNNNNNNNNNNNNNNNNNNNNNNNNNNNNNNNNNNNNNNNNNNNNNNNNNNNNNNNNNNNNNNNNNNNNNNNNNNNNNNNNNNNNNNNNNNNNNNNNNNNNNNNNNNNNNNNNNNNNNNNNNNNNNNNNNNNNNNNNNNNNNNNNNNNNNNNNNNNNNNNNNNNNNNNNNNNNNNNNNNNNNNNNNNNNNNNNNNNNNNNNNNNNNNNNNNNNNNNNNNNNNNNNNNNNNNNNNNNNNNNNNNNNNNNNNNNNNNNNNNNNNNNNNNNNNNNNNNNNNNNNNNNNNNNNNNNNNNNNNNNNNNNNNNNNNNNNNNNNNNNNNNNNNNNNNNNNNNNNNNNNNNNNNNNNNNNNNNNNNNNNNNNAAGUCAGGGCCGACGCCACCGUGUCGCGUCCGGCCAGCAUGAAGCUAAUUAUGAUGUCUCGCAGGUACUUUUCGUCAUCGACGCAGGCCAUGAAUCGAGAGAGGAGAUCGUGGUUCGAAGAGAAACCGAUCUUCCGUCGCUGGCGAAUGAGCUCGUUCGCGAGGAGGUUCACCAUGCCGAUCGCCUCCCGGAGCUCCCUUUCCGAUCCCCUGUUGAGAAGCCGCUUGGCUUUCCAUACCAUGGGCAUCGUCGAGGUCGCCCGCGAGGCCGAUAGCCUGGAGGCCUUGUCGAAGGCCGCCGCGAACUCGGACAUAGGCAGCGACAGCUCCAGGCAGCCAGGGUCGAUCCCGAACGAGAUCUUACAUAUGUUAUCGAACGCGAACCUCCGGAACACGUCCUGCAGGUCGAGGAUCUUAUCGUCCGCGCUGGAGACGUCGAGGAGGGGGAGGAAGCGACCGCGGACCUCGUCGGCCACGAUGCAAGAGGCGAAGAAGCGGACGGCGCUGCUGCCGAGCUCGGCGCCGGCCAUCUUGCGCUGGAAGCGCCAGAGAUGGCCGUCGACGUUGAAGAUGCCGCGGCCGAGGAGGUCGCCGAGGAUGGCGGAGAAGGUUUUCCCCUUGGGGUAGUUGUCGAAGCGGGCACGAAGCAUGUGCUCGACGUUGUCGGGGUUGGCCGUGACGGUGUUCCCGAGCACGUGGAUGUGGAUGGUGCGCGUGGGCGACUCCCGGAGGAGGUGCGCGUACCAGUCGCAGAGGUUGUCGAAGUGGGCGGUCCACGACUUGGUCACGUACGCCUCGCACACGGGGCAGCUGCACCACCAGGGCAUGGACCUCAGCGCCUUUAGCACCAGCGCGAGGAGGAAGAAGGCGGCGGCGAAGGAGAGGAAGAGGAGGGAGAACAGAGACCGAAAGGCUUCCACUGUUUCCUCCAUCUCCUCCUCCUUGUGCAGUCAAGAGUGUGGAAGGAUAAGAAUCAAGUGAGAGGAGAGAGACGGUUCGGGAGCGUUAUUAUAGUGGGGAUUCCAUGGCCAUUCUUAUGGUCGAUCCACGAUCCAGACUUAUCUUGUGGGGGAAACAAGACAUAAAUGGCGUAGGAUGAUGGUGCAAUAGUAUAUAAUCCAUAAUAGUGCAUUCGCAAGUCAUCGGCCGUCACUCCUCAUCUCAUUCGUAAAUGGUCUACAUCGCACAAAGCUUAACUGAUCCCAAUAUAUCAUUUCACAUCCAACUAUUCGAUUACUUACGAGUAAUUCCUUCACAUCUUUUGUAUGUUACUCUUUGUCUUUAUCUUCGUCUUCGUUCACCGAUCCUCGUCUCCAAUUCCGACACAGACACCAUUUACACGGACGACCAAAUGGCCGAACGACCACCGCCACCCAUUGGUUUCAGGCUGCGGUCCCCACAACUUAAAUCAUCUGUCCCCAAAGACCUCAGAUGUAUAUAUUUAUUUACCAAGAUAAAACGAGUCAACAAAUCAUCUAAGCUAUAUUAGAGGAGUAUUGAAGCUAUUUAAUGCAUAUUAUUAUAGAUGACAGCCGCGCUCGUGACGAAAUUGUCAUCGUCGCUUCCUGGCUCAUGUUGUCGUAUGCGGGUUAAUAUGGAUCCCGGUUCGCAUGCACUGUUGGUGUAACCAACUUUUAAGCCGUGGUCUCAGUGCUGACGUGGCUUGGUUCGGGUCCGAAUGAUAGGAGAUCUUCCUGGGAUGACCCUUGAGACUGCAGAAGACCGACUACGGUUGUCCGAUCGCGAAGGGGUCAAUGUUUCCUCUGAGAGGGGCUCCUCGUCUGAGCGUUUAGUGGGAGGCCUCCGUCUUCGCACCUGCACACAGGUCGGGUCGAGGGAGCUCGACCUGACCCCUCCGAUGAUCAAGUCAGUGAAUAGUCACAGAGGUUUUUGGUUGUUCUCCUUUCUCCUCCUUCUUUCAUUUCCUCGGAGUGCGAGGAUUUUUAUAGUGAAUGUUACCAUUGCCUGAUGUGCCCGCUUGCAUAGAGCAGGAUCGUACUCCUGGUAAUGUUUGACAUCGAUGUUGGUGUGGCGUGAAGGAUCGAGCCUGAGCAGGAUGCUAAUGAGCCUCGAUCAGUGUUUCGGUCCGUGUUGACAUGGUUAACAGAGGUGCGAGACGUCAUCUGGGACAGUUGACGUCAACCCGAGUCUUAUCGCCAUUAUUAUCCUCAUCGUGCAUCAAAUUUGGCUGCAUAAAAUGGUAGGUCUAAUUAGCUGCUCCUCUCAGUAGUAUAUUAACGACAUUACGUGUCGUUCGAGGUAGCUGGUGGCUGGAAGUGGUAGUUUAUGAGAACGCUCACGUAACAUCCAUUCGUAUGCAGUAGCAGCAACAGCAGCGAUCGAUCCUUAUCGCUCCGUUGGGUGUCUCCUAGUUCAUGCGUGUGUGUCUCUAUGAGCUACACGUACGCUACUAUUAUUACUAUUUUAUACAUACGUACCUACAUGCCCAAACAACCAUGUCCACCGCUCAUGUGAAUACGAUUCCAUCACCAGCAGUUUGAAUAUGUGCUCGGUGAUGACACACCGAAACGAUUCCCUUCAUCAUGAACGCACACAGGCGGUACAAUAUGCAUUCAUGCUGCUAACAGUGCGCGUAUAUUUUAUGCGUGCAUACAGCCAAUCGUACCUGUGCGAGUCAUGAGGCCCGUAAAUCUCGCUGGGACCGCCACCUCCUUCCGUCUCUCCGGAUUCUUAAAUGGAAAGGCGGUGGGCCAUCGAAGUGUUUGGGGGCUGUCACUGUUGCUUUUGGUGGCCAUGCCACCUGCAACACACUAAUAUAUUCAUGGGUUAUCCUGUUGUUUAAGAUGCCUUUUGAUCGGCGACUUCAUGCACGAUAUCUAUGUGUACAUACAUAUAUGUGGAUUGAUUGAUGAUGCAUUUCUUUAGAUCUAAGCUUUGAUUCUUUACGUUUCCGUGAGGUCCCCUUACCUUUUGUGUUUUGUGCAGUUCUAUCCAUGGCUGCUGCGGUUUACAGUUGCAUCAUAGAGCUUAGAGCGUUCUUGAACUGAUGUUACGGGGUGACGAAUCAGGUGAACGAGCACGGAGAGCACCGGCGGCGUACAGCCCUCAGGUGCAGCGACAGGCAAGACGUAUGGAUCGAUGUCAGAUGUGGAGAAUCGUUUAGCGUGUAUCUGAUCAGAUGAGAGAGUUGUGCUGAGAGGACAUGACCUUUGUUUUGUGACACCACAAACUCAUGAAGCAUGUGACUUGAUUCCCACAUGAAACUUGGAUUUCACCGCACAACCUCGUUACAGCAGCUAGCGAGGUGGGUGGAGCUGGGAGAGAGAAGUGCAAGCAGCAUGGUGAAUCUAGGAUAGCCUCAGUCCUGAAAUAUCUAUUAUUAUUUUUCCAAUACAAUAUCAGAAUCAAUAGACAGACAAUAUUUGUUUUAAUUACAUAAAAAACCGAGUUUGGUCGAAUGAGAACGAGUCAUAUCAUGAUAUAUAGUGAGCCAUUGGUGAAUUAUCAGAAAAGAUGUGAUGAACUAUUACUAUAAACUCAAAGUUAAGCAUACCAGUUGGUGUCACUGCCAACAUUCAGUUCAGGAAGCAGUGACUAUUGAUACCAUUGAGAACAAUUCAAAUGUAUCAGUUUGUCAAUUUUUUAUGAGAGAAAUGUAGUAUGGGCAUUUGGAGGCCACACGAAACACUUUUGUCAUCGCUCUCCGUUUACAUGUUAAGGCUAAGAAUUGAAUGGUAUGGAAGACGGGAACUACGAGAGGGAUUAUCCAAUCGAAAGCGAAGUGAGGCAUCUAUAAGUGACAAUGGGUGAUUGUAGUAGAAUAAGAAUCUUUUAUGCAUUUGUUCCAAGUUAAUGCAGGAAGCUAUUACGUAUACUAUAAAAGUUCCAAGAAAAAAGGAAAACCAAUAUGAGAUUUCUAUUUUUUUUUUUGUUUUUUGGGGUGAUGAUAAUUUUAAAUUUCAACGCCAUUAUGUUAAGGAUCAUCAGCCAAAUGAGUUGGACUACAGUAAGUUUCUUCGUUUGUUUGACAAAUAUUACGCACGACCCAUGAACUUAUUAUGAUGUUGCUAUAGGACGAGCUCAUGAAAGAAAAGAGAGUAAAAGAUGAAACCUGAUAACCAGUAGUGAUCCGUCCAUUCUUAACUUACAUGAAGCCUUUCUGCACGCAUGGCAAAGCCACAUGCAUGCGAAGAAACCAUCACAUAAAAUAUCCCUCGAGAGACUUGGACGUUCUUCAAUGGUUCCAUGGAAUCUUGUGCCGCCCACCGGUGUUUUCUUCUUCCGAAUGCAGACAGAACCCAGGUGGGAACGACAUCCACAGGCGCAGCCGCGGCAUCUCUCGAAAGGCUCAUGACUCCUUCCCGCUUCCUCCCAACCUGUCUCUUUCAUUCUUUCCUUUUUAUUUAUUAAGAUAAUAUAUAUUUCUAUAAAUUUAAGAAACAAAGUUUUCAAUCAUAUUCUUAUAUAAUUAAUUUUUAAAUUAUAAAUCAAUUGAGAAUUUUGAUGUAUAAAGAAUAUAAAAUUAUCAUUCCAUAUUUACUUUUAUUAUGAUCUUUCAUUAGCUUUCGUCGAGAAUAUCAAUCUUGGAUCGAUUUAACUAAAAUACCUUACGAGAGAGAGGCUCCGUAGGAGAGUUAGUUAGUCAAAAGUAUAAGUAUAAACGUGAAAAUUUCGUAGUUGACGUAUAACAACUUUGAUCUCUAAAAAAGUGAAAGUCGAUGAAACAACAUUUGAAACAAAAAUGAUUAACUAAAUGAUUUAUAAAGCUAAUGACUACUUAUAGAUAUUAUCUUUAUUUUGAUCCUAGACCAAUGAUACUCUCGUUCUUAGAUCCUCUAUUGUAGUACUACAUGAAGAAAUUAAUGAUGCUAUAGAGUAAAUAAUUGAGAUUUGAAUAACUUACAUAAUAAAACAGUCUUGACGUAAUCAUAAUUUAUAGUUAGGAUUUUUCAUUAAGGUUGAUUAUACUGAUAUUUUAAUAUUUUCGAAUAGACAAUUGAGCGAGCUAUUGACAUAACUUAGUAAAUCAUAUCAAAAGAGAACGUCAAUGAACUAAGCUCACCAAAAUAUAUAAUUGUCAUUUAUGAAAAGUUUAAAGGGGAUCAAAGUUGCUACAUUAUUAGAUAUGAGUUAGAUAUGGAUCCUAUAGGUUAAGAAGAACUAUUAUUCCAUAUAAUCAUAAGAGUGUUAAAGUGAGAAGAGGGUGGCGCCUUAAAGCAAAAAACCAAAUUGAUUGUAGCGAGAGUUGCAGGUAUAAUAAAGAUUAUGAAAGAGGAUGAUUUUAUUUAAAAUAAUAUAUAUUUAUAUAUAUAUUUGAAGGAGAGAUUUUUAUCAACUAUGUGCUUAAAUCUAAAUCAAAGAAGAAGAACUAAAGGUUGUUAAGUAGUUGGAAGAGAAGACAUGAGGAAGGAGAGGGUGGCGCCUUAAAGCAAAAACGAAAUCGAUUGUAGCGAGAGUUGCAGGUAUAAUAAAUAUUGUGAAAGAGGAUAAUUUUAUUUUAAAUAAUAUAUAUAUAUAUAUAUAUAUAUAUAUAUAUAUAAUUUGAUUCUUAAAUCAUAAAUUAAUUGAGAACUAGAAUAAAUAAGAAAUACAAAACCUAUCGUUCAAUAUUUAUCUCUCUCAUUAUAUUUAAUCGUAUCACUUUUAAAAGAGAGAUAUUUAAGACCUAUUGGUUAUAUAAUAAUAUACUAAUCAUUUCUCUCAACAAAGAUACAAAGUCUGAUUUCUUAAGUAUUGAUAAGACAUAUUUUACCUCCAAGACAUGUCAUGGCUAAUGUCGCAUGUCAUGUCAGAAUCCGUGCUCCCAAGACACUGUUCGACAUGUCUGGUCCCGAUAAUCCCGGGACGGCAACGCCCCGCACACCGAGCCAAAAUCCAUACUGAUGCCAUGUUGUGCCCACCACGCCAACCCGCGUACGACCGACCCUCUUACGGCAGUAUAAAGACCUCGAUCCCAACCUCCAGUAGGGGGCAAGAGAAAAUUAACAAAACCUAUUACUAACUUGCUCGUCGGAGGGGCCAAAGUCGGGAAUCACCCGACGAAGAUCGUUUUUACGGGAAAGUAGCCCAACCUCGGAAGCUGAGGACCGGCGUCCCCACGGCAGGCCAUUGACCAACCCCGACUCGAGGACCUAAUCGGCCCCGAUGGCCAGCUUCAGUCGACAAGAGGCUCCCAACAUCGACCCAUGAACCAAGUCGUACUGAGUCAUCAGCCACGGCACAUUCCUUCAAUAACAAGUAUUACUCUUACCAGCUCAUGUAAUCAACGGCGGAUAAUGGAGUCGGACUAAGGUUUGAGUUGGUGAAUCUAAUUAUUGAGUUGGAUCCAGAUCCGGAUCCGGAUGAACAAACACGUGCUAUUCACAUGUCCUCUCUGGAAUCUGCACGCUUAUCACCACUCUAUUCCAUCGCUAUCAUCUCAGGAUCACGACCGUCCAUUUUAUUGCAUCCUCGAUGAUACAUGAUUCAGCUUUGUGGGUAACGCCAUCACCAUCACCAUUUCCCUCGCCCACCGGUUCUGAUUCCAUCUACCUCUGCAGACGUUACAAGCUCUCAUGAUUCCCAGGCCUCUCUCGAGGUCAAGAGGCAGCGUAAACAGCGAUCGAACACUAGGGACCGCCGUCAAACACCUUCUCGACCCUCCCAACGAGCCGAGUCCCCGCGGUCUCUGCUCUCAUCGCCAACUGUUCGACGGAAGCCCUCUUGAGAGCCCUUCCCCGUGGAACCGCCUGCUCUUCCGGCACUCGAGGAACAAUCUUAACAGAGAACCUCUGAGUUUGUUCCUGGAGGCUCGGAGGUCUGGGCAGCCCCUCGACGAUUCCUCGCUCUCGUGCGUUCUCAAGGCUUGCGGAUGUUUAUGGGAUCGAAACCUUGGCAGGCAACUGCAUGGCCUCUGUGUGAAAUGUGGGCACGGAUCGGGGGUCGGCGUUGGCACCUCGCUGCUUGAUAUGUACCUCAAGUGUGAUGGCGUGGAUGAUGGAGUGAGAGUGUUCGAUUCAAUGCCUGAGAGAAAUGUGGUGAGUUGGACCUCUUUGCUCACCGGGUAUUCUCAAAAGGGACUCCAUGAUGAUGCAUUUGAGUUCUUUUCCCGGAUGCGAUCCGAGGGAAUUAAGCCAAAUCCUUUCACUUUUGCCACUGUUCUUGCAUCGGCCGCGGCUCAGGGAGUACUUGAGAACGGAAGGCAAAUGCACGGCCAAUUGAUCAAAUUUGGAUACCAGGGUACAGUGUUUGUGUGCAAUCCUCUGAUCAACAUGUACUCCAGGUGUGGUCUAGUCGAAGAGGCUCGAGCGGUCUUCAACCGCAUGGUGAACCGGGAUGCUGUUUCUUGUAAUGCGAUGGUUGCAGGCCUUGUGUUGAAUGGGUACGAGUCUGAAGCAGUGCAAGAGUUUCGUCACAUGAGAGCUGCCGGCCUGAAACCGACACAGUCGAGCUUCGCUACCAUGAUCAAGUUGUGCGCUAAUCUUAAACAGCUCGCGUUUGCUCGACAGCUCCAUUGCUGUGUAGUGAAAGAAAGGUUCGACCUGGAUGCCAAUGUAAUUACAACACUGAUGGUGGUUUACAGUAAAUGCAGCGAAAUGGAUGACGCAUUUGAACUUUUUUCCAUGCUGGGAGCUCGAUCCGUGGUCUCAUGGACUGCUAUGAUCAAUGGGUAUAUACAGAAUGGACAUGUCAGUCGAGCUGCACUUCUCUUUAGUCAGAUGAGGUUAGAUGCUGUUGAGCCGAAUGAUUUCACCUACUCUAUUCUAUUGACGGCUUCGCCUCAGAUAUCUCCCUUCCAAAUCCAUGCCCAGGUCAUCAAAACCAAAUUCCAGCAAGUCCCUUCUGUAGGCACUGCUCUGCUCGCAGCAUAUACUAAGCUAGGAAACACUUGCGAAGCCUUCUGUGUCUUCAGGGGGAUUAAAGAAAAGGACAUUGUGGCAUGGUCUGCAAUGCUAGCAUGCUAUGCCCAAGCAGGUGAUUCUGAAGGGGCAGUGAAGCUGUUCACAGAGAUGGCUAGGAAGAGUAUCGGAGCAAAUGAGUUCACCCUCUCCAGUGCGAUUGAUGCAUGUGCAAGUCCAACAGCUUCAGCAGAUCAGGGGAAGCAGUUUCAUGCCAUUUCUAUCAAGCUUAAAUAUGAAAACACAUUGUGCGUGAGCACAGCUCUCGUCACUAUGUACGCAAGGAGGGGGAGCAUAGAGAGUGCUCAGGGAGUCUUUGACAGGCAGUCAGUGAGGGAUCAGGUUUCCUGGAAUUCUAUGUUGAUGGGUUAUGCUCAGCAUGGCUAUUCUAAGAAGGCCCUUGAAUUAUUUAGAGGCAUAGAAUCUAGAGGCAUUGAAAUGGAUGGAAUCACCUUUAUUGGUGUUAUCAUAGCAUGUACACACACAGGGCUCGUAGAAGAAGGCAAGAAGCACUUUGAGUCAAUGGUACAUAAUCACCAUAUCAGUCCAACUGUGGAACAUUAUGCCUGCAUGGUUGAUCUUUAUAGUCGUGCUGGUAAACUCGAAGAAGCAAUGAGUCUGAUCAAGGAGAUGCCUUUUCCAGCAUCUGCAACUGUGUGGCGUACUCUGUUGGGUGCCUGUAGGCUUCAUCGGAAUGUGGAACUCGGAGAGCUCGCUGCAGAGAAGUUAAUGUCACUUGAACCUUCACAUUCUGCUGCAUAUGUGCUCUUAUCUAAUAUGUAUGCAGCUGCUGGGAGAUGGGCAGAGAGGGCCAAGAUAAGGAAGCUGAUGGAUGCCAGAAAAGUAAAGAAAGAAGCUGGAUGCAGCUGGAUUCAAAUUAAGAACAAAGUGCAUUCGUUCUUAGCUUCUGAUAGAACUCAUCCUAUGUCAGAUAAGAUAUAUACAAAGCUUAAAGACAUUACAAUUCGAUUGAAGGAGAAAGGGUAUCAACCAAAUACAGAUUAUGUGCUUCAUGAUAUGGAAGAGGCGCAUAAGGAGGUCAUGCUAGCUCAGCACAGUGAGAGACUGGCCAUUUCUUUUGGGCUGAUAGCUACGCUUCCUGGGACACCCCUCCAAAUUGUAAAGAACCUUAGAGUGUGUGGGGAUUGCCACACCGUGAUUAAGCUAAUAUCAGAAAUAGAGCAGAGGGAGAUUGUUAUCAGGGACUCAAGCCGAUUCCACCACUUUAAUAGAGGCUCUUGCUCUUGUGGUGAUUAUUGGUGACUGGACUUCAGUAUCUUCCAAAUUCUAUGUUAUGGUUACUUGGAGGAGGCACAGAAUGCAAAUUGUAGGGCCAACCAAUUCAUAUUUGAAGAGCUUACAUCUUUGGGAUUACCUUGCUAACUGAACUACAAUCAUACAGCCAAUUGAAUUCUUUGUCAGAUUAUCUCAACUACAAACAUAGUAUUAAAUACAUGGUAGCCGAAGAUGUGGUGACUAGCCAUAAAAAUUGGUACUUUUGUUGGGUUUGAACAUAAGAGCCACAGAGACACAAAAUAUGAAUAGGUGGACAUUUACACAAGAAUCAUAACUGAGAUGGCAAAAAUUGCUAUGUUGAAACCUUGUUUUUGCAAAACAGUUCACUGGUAGAAGUAAUUCAUAGGAAUUGCUUACACAAAGGAACUUUAUCGAUGAUUGAGCUAUGCUCUCCAGAAAUCGAGUGGAAAGUUCCUGCAUUAAAUCAGUAAUUUUAUGUUCAUUUACAUAAAGUAACUGAGUGGAGAGUUACCAUAAUGAACAAUGCUCCUCCAGCAGGCAUGGUGGCACCCAUUUGGUCCUAGACAUGCUGGUGCUCAAUAGACCUCAUUGGUCUAUAUGCAUUCUUCUCAGAGUUCUGUACCUCAAUAGUCUGCAACGUCACUUGUUCAUCUCCAUGAAAACUUCCAGACUUCUUAUGAGGGUUUUGCUCAGGUACUUGUCUCAGUGCCAAUUGUGUUUUUGUUGUCUGAUGGACUUGGAUGUCACCGAUCUGCUUGUAUAUUAUUUUGUCUAUGCAACUUAUGUGGUAAUUUUAACAUAUCAAUAAUUGACCUAUUCUUGUUCCACACUGAUAUCAAUGUUUGUAUCUAGUAACUAAAUCUAUCUUAAUUCAGUCCUUUAUCCUUGAAGAAAACCUAUAUGCUCACAAGUUUGUUCUUUUAUAUUCAUAAACUUAGAACUGAUUAUUUCAUUGGCAACAUGAUCUUUCAGUUUUAUUGAUCUCUCAGGUUGCUGGUUAUUUGAGGAAUACAAUUCAGCAUGAAGGAACUUUUCUCAUUAUUUAGAAUUUUGCAUAAAUAAGGCUAUUCACUCUUUGUACUGUCUAAAGGCUGCUUGGGCGUUCUCAAUUUCAUGGUAGUUAGUACUUGCCAUCUUAGUGUGUGGCUCAACACCAGACAGAUCUUCACCAUCAGGAGUCUUUAAGUCUUUAUGGUCCUUAUUUCAGUUGAAGUUACAUAGCCAAUCCUGGGCAUCUGACAGACUCAUCAGCAGCAACCUCAAACGAGCUCUAGCAAGGGCCUGGAGGUACCUGUACCUGCUGUCAACUGGAAUUCUGUGACCGGAAUUUUGGAUGAUGGUUAAGUGAAUUUUUGUUGGCAGGAGAGUGCAGAUGUAGAAAGCUUUGCACGUGUCAGAAGAUAAACCUUCUUAGCUAUCUUCUUUCCUGCACUAUGCAUAUCCUUGUACAGGCUUCAGAUAUCCCCUGUUUUGCUGGUGCUGAAGAGGAAGGAAAAGCAUAACUUGACGAUAGCAUACAAUUACUAGGUUAGUAUCAGCAUUAGAUAUGGAACACAUAAUACUGUAUGUGUGAGCUCUAACAAGUGUUUGUAUAUUUUCUUCUGCAGCGGGACAUACGACAUGGUUUGUUUGGAACAGAGGGGCCCUUCAAGUCCAUUCAAAGAGAGAGUAGCAGGUGAGUUUGCUCCCAUACUUAUGGUGCUUGAUGUUUAAACUUUAUGGCUGUCAUUCACGUUGUUCUUACUUGAUCUUGAUCUAAUGCUUUAACAUGUUUUUGCAUAAAAUGUAUCAACAAACUUAUUUUGUUGGAUGUGAUCAUUCAACCUAUACCCAACAGCAUGCGUAGAGACCGAUAUACAAUGUGACAUCGAAUCUAAAUCUGUAAUGGUUUCUCAGAUUUGCAACCGCCUGUGGUUCUCAGUGUGUCAGAAUCCGUAGGAUAUCUAAACCAGUGAUAAUCCUGUGUUGGCUUUAGCUAACAGAGACCAAAAUGGUGUAUAUCUCUACAAAUUGGAAUGUAGCCUUUGCUCCUUAUUUCUAUCCUACUUAAAAGAGAUAAUCUAGAUAAAUUUUUUUCUAAUGCCCAAGUUUUAUCGAGUACUAAAGUUUUUGAACUAGUGCAUGAAAUCAUGGAACGAACUUUCUUGUAUCAAAUGAGUCCUAACGUCUGUAUGGUUUCUUUGGUGUUGCAUUAUUGUGGAAAGCAGAAAUGUUAUGCUUUUUUAAGUUGGUGCGAGAAAUUGCACAAACUUUUCUAUUUCGGGUAAGUUUUUUUGUUAUCAUAUUUUUUUUACGAAAAAUGUCUGUGUUACUUACGCCCUUCUGGUAGAAUUAAGAUUUAAUACACUUGGAAAGAACUAUUGUUGUAGUGCUUGCUGCUGUUUCAGUUGGGGGAUGUUCACCAAAUUCAUUGAAUCCAUUGAGAUAUAUGGAGGAUUAGGUCAUAAGCCUCCCUAUGCAAAAAUCUACGAUUGGCUCUUCGCCUCGAUCACUGAAUUCUUAGUGUCUUGGUUAUAUAUAUGCAAUCACUGAAUUCUUAAUGUUUUGGUUAUAUAUGUAGCGGGAGAGCGAAGGUCAUGCAGGAGAAAUAAAUGAAAAAAUGUUUUUUCUUAACUGAGAAAAAUGCAAGUCAUAUAUUUCUUUUAUAAAGCUGAGUGGAUAAAAUUAUCAAGUUAUUUACCAGCUAGACUAGUUAACUUUUUGAAAAAAUUAUCAGAUGAUGAUUUCGACAAACUAACUGUCGUAAGUAGAUAUGGUACACCUCGGGGUUUCUGGAUCAAUGACUUUGGCAUAGUUAGGCAAGCUUAACCAUUUGUGCUGCACCUAUUUCUUCCCUUAAGUGACAAUGAAGGCCUCCUUUGAUUUGAAAUCUAUAUGGAAAAAUAUGAUCAACUAUAUGCUUAGUCUAAUGGUCCUGCGAAGAAUGUUUCUUGGUCUUGAAGGAACAUCUGGAUUGAUCUUUGGUUUAGCGGCCUUCCAUUUAACAAAGGGUCAACCUUGUUCAUGUAAGUAAAAUAUGAUUAGAUUCGAUCUUAUUGGUGACUUAUGCAUGCUUCUCGACAAGACUAUUAAUAACAAACUGCUUCUUGUUAUCUUUGUGUAGUUUAGUCAGAUCUUGAGCUGCUUUCACGCGUUACCUGAUAUCCUUUGUGAUGAUAGGCUACAUUUGGACUCCGACACCACUGAGAGAUAUGAUAGCAAGUAGUGCUUGUCUCUUAUGUUGUGAUCCAGAAUCAAAAUUUUCCUGCCAAAAUUGUAUUGGAGAUCGCUCACCUCGGUUGUCAUAUUUGUCACCUCGCCGCCGACUCUUCUUCACUUAUUUUCUUGGAAUAUUUUUUAUGGCAUGAUAUUACCACUAAACCAAUGCUUAUUGUAUGUAAUAAUUAUCAGUAUUUAUUAAGAUAAAUUUUGAUUGUUUAAUUAUAAUAUUAAUUCAGAGUUAAUUGAGAUCUUAUUCUGCAUCCGUCUCGGGAUGGUGUCGAAUUAAAUAGUUUUGAGUUCAUUUGAUUCGGGAUGCAUUGAAUCCUGUAAAAUUAUGUCGGAGACGUACUCCGUAAAAUCUCUUCAAAGCUUAAGUUAGCUCUCGAGUUAGUGGUGUCAAUGUACUAGAGAAUGACUUUUGAAAGAAUAUACUUAAGGGGUCUUUUAUAAUGAGGUCUUGGAUUGUUGCACUUGAUAUCAUGGUUUAAUAUUGGGAACAAUUAUGUAUCUUCUCCGAUGUUAAGUGUAAGUGUGUCGCAUCGAAUCUGAAGGAUAGAGGAUGGGUCAUGCGUGGGGUUGUAAAGUUCGAAGGGAAGAGUCAUAUACACGAUAGAUAUUGAAGCGUGAGUCAUAUGACAUGAGAUGUUGAUAUUUUGUGUUACAAUUGUACUCUACGAGGGAGAUUAAACCCUUGAUAUUUUUUAGAUCCAUCUCGAUGGGCUAUGGAUUUUUAAUAAUGAGAUGGCCUUUAAGGAGAUUACAAUUGAUAAUUCCUUACUCCAUCCAAAUAUCUUUAAAAAAUAAUAAAAUAUAAUUUUACUAAAUAUAAACUCUCAAUUAUCAUCAUUUCAUAUAACUCAUUAUUUCCAUUGGUCAAUCAUCCCAAUCGACAUUGAAACCCUAGAUGCAUCUCUACCAACCAUCUUCAAUUAGGAGGAGGAGAAGAAGAAGAAAAAUGGAUUGUUUGUAAGGAGUUGAAAGAGUGUUGAAUUUAAGUGAAAAUUAAAGAUAUUUACAUCCAUUUAUAAAGAAAUAUCUUAAAAAUAUUAAAAAAUAUAUAUAAAUAGUAAAGAGAGGAUUGUAAAUAGAAAUCUCCCCAUUGAAACACCACCAUAAUUGGUAUUCAGCCCACAUAAAGAUAAAAUUCACGUAGUUAUACUAAGAUAAGAAGGUAUAUCGUUGCAGGUAAAUGAUUAAUUCGGCAUUUGUUAAAAUCAUAACCUCUCAAAUCUGUCGUGUUCCAAUGCAAGCUACCACACGCAAUUCUUUUAAUAUCUUAUAAAAGUUAGGUCUAGUUGUAUUGUUUUGCUCUAAAAAAAUAUAUAUGCACAUCUCUUUCUUGUCUCUACUUUCAUGAUCUGCUGCUGCUGCUGCUAACCCUUGGUCUUGUCGAACAGCCACGAUCGGAAAUGCCUUCAACUCUCCUACCUCCUUUUGCUUUCGCGGGGCACCAUCUCUUUAUUAUAAGAUCUCGAUCACAAUGCAUACAACAUACUUCUCCUUUCUCUGUCUCUUCCACGUCCAUGCGCAGAUAUCAGAAGGCUGAAAAAUGAUUGUGCAGUGGUUGAUGAAUUAUAUGCGGGUCCGCUGUGGCAGGGACGACACUGUCAUUGGCAACCAAGCUCCUGCAGUGAGUAAAAUAUACAUGCAGAAAGUCAUGUGGAUGUAGGGAGGAUAUAUAGCCAAUUCACAACAUGAGAAAAAGAAAAGCAAAGCAGAACAUGUUUAGAUAUGCCAAAUCUAUCAUCACAGGUUAAACAAUGGAGAAGAAGCUAACGGUCAACCAUUUAGGAUUCGCCCAAUGAUUGACAAGGCAUCUGUAGCACUAAAAAGAUGAUCACGAAGUGACUAGCUAGCGCACAGCCUUUGAUAAUAUAAUUGGAUGGAUGCUUCUGCGCAUCGUGGAACAGACUAUUUUACGAAGCUCCACUUGGUUGGCACUAUGAUCGGAUUAGUUUUAGCUAGCAAAAUGUGAUCGACAUGUACAUAAAACUACGAGAAGCCCCCCUUCCACAGAGGAAUGGUCAUGUGCAUAUUACAAGAAGAAACUAGAAUGCAUGCAUGCAUGAGCAGCUUACUCUUGAGGGCGAGAAGCCCAUAGGGAGCUCAGAGCACGUAGGCGGGUGAAGUACUCUCCGAUCGCCAGGAAACAUCUUGCUGCUUGUUUGGUCGUCAGCUGUUGACGCAACUGGUGCAAGGUUUGUUGUCUCAAGUUGUCAGCCUGCAUCAGGUAAAAGGGUAGAAGCUUGUUCUAUCUUCUUACCUUGUUGACAUGAUGAAUAGACAUGCAAAAAAACAGCGGGAGGAGGUUAAAAAGAAGCAUGAGUCGGAGCAAAGAUAUAUCUGACGACUUGUUCAAGAGGAUUGUAAUGGUUCAAAAAGGCUAUCUUAUCUAUCUUUCGGUCUUUUAUUUUUAGUAUCUCCCUCGACGAAGAAGGACUCCACCUCAUGGUCACAUUAAACAACAAAAGAGGAUCUUUUCUAAGGGUAUUCUCAUGCAACAAAAUAAUAACAUCGACCAAGUUUACUUUGACACGGCAGACAUUAGUUGGAUAUCAGUUGGGAAUAUGAGAUGAGUAGCAUGCAUGUUUGUAUUGUAUUGUAUUGUACUGUACUGGACCAUCUUGGGGAAACAAACAAACUAAUCGCAUUGUCCAUGGAAAUGAAAGACUAGCAAGUUUUGGUCCGUUUCUGUUCGGAUGAAACAGUGUGUAUAAUUCAAAUAGCUUUGUAUUAUUGGGGGUUGGAUAAGUUGAUUACCUAAAAGCCAAAAAAGAAAGAAAGAAAGAAAGAAUAUAUAAAGGUCAUUAUUAUCACAAGGAAAGAGAAGAACAAAAUAAGGGAACUCUUUUUGAGGUAUUCUAGUAGAUUUGGUUUUAACAUGAUCUAAUUUUUAUUCUAUU
Molecule: long non-coding RNA, 61855 nt
Filed under: Musa acuminata (dwarf banana)
Lineage: Eukaryota; Viridiplantae; Streptophyta; Magnoliopsida; Zingiberales; Musaceae
Description: long non-coding RNA (MACU_LNC006830)
Source: RNAcentral